GUAAAAAAUAAUACUUUUGUGGUAAAGGACAUCACUACUGCAUCCCAAGCCAAAUUAAUCACGUAGAGCCUCUUUCCCCUUAGAGACCGAUGACCAAAAGGAGAAAAAAAAAACACCAAAAUUUAACUAAUUAAAUCCACAUAUAAAUAAACAGAAGCCCUCCCCAUCCCCAUGAAUCCAAUAAAACUCACCUACCCUCAACUGCCGUUGCCGUCACGAGUGCUUAAUUGAUCUGCCCCUUUUUCCCUCUUCUUCCCUCACCCUAUCCCCAUGCAUGAUUCUCCAUUACCUUCUUUGAUCCAAGAAUUCAUUCUCCUCUUCCUUCAAUUGCACCCAGAUUGCACAACAAACCCAUAUCUAGCAGUUGUCAACCAUCACACGCAAAAUUCAUCAUAAUGCAAGAAUCAGCAACACCCCCUUAUUUAUUAUUCCCUUCACUUUCACGUUAACAUUUCCACACACCCAACAACAACUUCCAUAGCAACCAGAACAACAAGUAAAACAAAACAAGACACUUCUGAUUCUGAAUCUUCUUACAUCAAGUUCAAACCUUUCUACAAAAAAAUUAUACCCUUUUGCCCAAUUCAAUCAAAUCACACUUCACUAACUAACUACUUCGCUUCCUUCACAAUGCCGGAAUCGCCCAACUCGCACGCCGGAAACUCACUGAGUCAACUCGCUCGGAGCAUGUUCUCCGACAACAACAGCAACAUCUUACUCGCCGCCAUUGUUUCCUUGCUCCUCGUCAUCCUCUUCGUCCUUCUCCUCCACGUGUACGCCAAGUGGUUCUUCCUAGCUCGGGCGCAAUCACAGUCACAGUCACAAUCUCGCCGCCGUCGCCGGCGAACUCCGGCGAGUUCUUCCUCCUUCACCCACAUCAGCAUAGAAGCCUCCUCCUCCUCCUCCUCCUCCUCAUCAUCAUCAUCAUCUGUCUCCACCAAAGGGCUUGAUUCAGUGAUGGUUUCGAAGAUUCCGAUGUUUGUGUCGGAGUACGAAGCAGAAGCAGAGGAAUUGGAAUGCGUGAUUUGCUUGAGUGGAAUUGAAGAGGGAGAGAUUGGAAGAAGGUUAACAGAGUGUGGCCACGCUUUUCAUGUGGAGUGCAUUGACAUGUGGUUGAGCUCUCAUUGCAAUUGUCCACUCUGCAGAGCCCCUGUUUCGGUCAACGAUUCUCAGGUGGGUUCGGUUGGUGGCGGUGAUGAUGGCGGUGGUGGUGGUGGUGAUGACCAUGGUGUGCUUGAGAUUGUGAUUGGUGGGGAUGAUGAUGAUGAUUUUGGAGGUUCUUCUGUGUCAGAAACUUCAGUGUCUUUGUUGGGUUUUUCUUUGAAGAGAUUACUGAGUAAGGUUUUUCUAUCUUCCCAUGUAAAUGAAUUAGAAGGUUCACAAUGAGAUGAACACAAACAUGAGCUAUUAAUCAAUAUACAAAUGAUUUUGUUGGAUUUUGUUAUGCAUGUUUCUAAGAGAAUUUGUUUGGUUUGUUUUGGAGCUCUUAAUUUCAUUUCUUUCUUCCAUUUCAGGAUUGAUUAAGAGAAUUAAAUCAUUAAGAGUUUAUUAGUGGAGAGUGAAAUGAGAGACUAAUGAGUGUGUUUGAUUUCCCUUGAAAAGAUAUUCAACUCACAUAUUCGUUUUUCCAACUGAGUAAAGUUGUUGGGUCGAGAAAAGUAAAGUUAUUAGAUCGAGAAAAAUCACAUUCACAUCAAAUUCAACGGAUAAACAAACAAACUCGUAUAUUGAUGUGUUUGUUAGAUAUCUGCAAUAUUUGUUCUAACUCACCGUUUGACAAAAGACCUUAUAUUGAAUAGUCCAUAAGUAAUUAACUGCUAACUGAAUAAACUAAUUGAGAAACUAAUUACAAUAACUGCCAAAACUAAAACAAAUUGCAUUAAGUUCUAAUACUCCCUCAAAUUACACUAAUCAUCAUCAUGAAAUGGUGAUAUAAUGUCAUAUGAAUGGCAGAGUUUUUUUUUUAUCACAAAAAAAGCAUUGCCAACAAGUGUUACUUUGAAAUCCACAAUAAUGUCUCAACCAAAGUUCUAUUGUGACAGCAACAAUAGCUCUGUAUUAUUAAGCAUCAAUGGAUGACCUGACACAAAAAAUUACUAAGUUUACAUUAAACCUACAUUUGAAUGGAGAAUUUCAAGAUCAUUUGAAACUGAAAAUGUAAGGAAUACUAAAUUUCACCCAUUUAAUUACAUUAAUAUGUAUAAUUAUUUGUUUGGAUGUUUACCCCUUAGUAUAAAAAUCUGGAAGUUAAUAGCUAUGAAGAAGAGGAAUGUAAAAUUAUACAAUUGAUAGGAAGAGUCCGGUGGAGGAUUUCACACAUUCAACCUCUUAAGAGGGUCUUUAAACUCAAAUUUUUGUGACAAACAACACUUUAUUUUUAUACUAAAUGUUAACGCACCACCGUGCAGAUUCAAUCAACUGAGAGAAUCCUCAUCCUGAGGAGAUUCAGGAAGAAAGAACACUAAGUAUCCAAACAAAGUAGUAAUUUAUGAUAAAAUAUUUCAAAUUCUCUAAUAAAUUAGUACAUUCUAUUCAAAAAAUCCUUUAUCCAAAUCCCAAUACAUAUAAAUUAAGUUCAAAUACCCAGGGACCAACACAUAUGUUAUAUGUGGUACAUCACUUUCAAUUUGGUUGUAUUUCUAUUGCCAGCAAUGCAGUGCAGUUAGCACCCAUUCAACAUCCUACAAAGGAGUGCUAAAUAGUAGUGCUGCAUUGGUUACACAUCGCCAUCUGUCAUGACUCAUGACACAUUGAAUUCAACAGUAUAUUAAUUGAAUGUUCUGAAAUCUCAAGUCUAAACUUGUGCUGUUUCCAUCAUCAUCAAUUAGUCAAAGAAAAAUCGUGUCUGUGGUUAGCAGAAAACAAAUGGGAUUGGCAUUAGGGAAGGACAAAACCCCAUAUUUUGUGGUCAAUGUUAUUAUGGCUAUGGAUGUAUAUAUCAUAUAUGUUGCAUGAACCUAGUUCUGUAAAAUGGGGCAGUCAAAGAAACUGCCGCAAGUGAGGCCAUGUACAGUGACGUUUGCUUUGAAGUAUUUAAUGCAGACCUUGGCCCUAGCCUACCUUAGCCAACGAAGUAUGCACCGUAGAACUUUAAUUAUUAGUUGUAUAUAGAUUAGUACAUGAAUUCACAACUUGAAGUUAUAGUGGUGAAAAUGAUUCGUAAAUAUCUCACUGUAACAUUUUUUUUUUUUGGUUAUAAAUGCUUAAAGAGAGAAACAAAAAUGAAAACACAUAGAGAAGAAAACGCGGAAAGAAGUCCCUAAGCGAUCAGCAAGAAGCAUAGGAGCAACACCAACCGGUGGAUCAUCCCACACCAGCAGAGAAGACGACGACCCAACACCAAAUUUUACCAAGAAGUCUGCAGCUGCAUUGCCCUCACAAAGCAAAUAGUGACAAAAGUUGAAUCUGAUAUAUGACCGAAGAGAAAAAUGGAGAGAAAAGUUGAGUAUACGUGUAGUGUACAUUAUUUAUAUGUCCGGGAGUAUCAUUAUUGUGUUAUAGUUGCCCUCUUGCAUCUAUGGAAAACUUAAGGUUGAAAUUUUAUAUUUAUAAAUUUUUCAUGUGUAAAAAAUAAAUGAUCCCUCCUAAAUAUGUAUAAAAAAGGAUUAAUGUGCUGCAACAGAAGCUGUAGGACAUAGUGGAAAUAUUUGGGUUUUGGUUCCUAUCACAUGUUCUUUUAGGGUCCGUUUGGUGAUCACGACAUGAUAGAAUAUGACAGGAUCGUAAACAUAUCAUGUUGUUAUCUGUUGCGUCAGCAGGAUAGGAUAUCCAGUCUCAUAUCCUAUCAUGUCCAUCAUAUGUAAAAGUAUUCUGAGGGGGGAGUUAGGAUAAAACAGGAUAGGAUACCAGUUACAUAUUUUCUUUCAGUAUCCUAACUCCAAAUUAAUUUAUUUUAAUAUUACAUAAUUUAUAAUUUAUAAUUUAUAAUUUAUAAUAAUAUUAAUUAAUAAAUAUAAAAAUAUUAAUUUAACUAAAAUAAAUAAAUAAAUAAAAUUAUUAUUCAUAAAUAGUAAAAAUAUACUACUCACUUACAAAUAUUGAUUUAUUAAUAANNNNNNNNNNNNNNNNNNNNNNNNNNNNNNNNNNNNNNNNNNNNNNNNNNNNNNNNNNNNNNNNNNNNNGCUGUUCACAUAUCAUUUCUAUCAUAUCUUGUCCUGAUCACCAAACGGGCCCUUAGAGUCGAGAUUGAUGAUGUGCAGCAGCAGGUGGUCUCUAUAUCCAUUUGUAAUGGGGCAAGGAAUUGGGUUUGCUCUCUUGUUUAUGAGAGCCCUCAUUUGGCUAGGCGGUAAGAGCUUUGGCAACACAUGAAAUGCCUUCGUCGUCGCAUCACCAACCCAUGGUUCAUAGUUGGGGACUUUAAUGAGGUGUGUGCUCCCUCCAAGGUGGUAGGAGGAGUUUUUAGUGAGACGUGUGCUAUCAUGCUAUGUCUAUGCUGAACAUGAUGGAUACUUGUGAAUUCAUUGAUCUGGGAGCUACUGGAAGGAGCUUCACGUGGGAAAGGGGACAAGAUGGGAGACAUAUCAUGGCAAAAAGACUAGAUAGAGCCCUUGCAGAUUUGGCUUGGCGACACUUUUUUCCUGAAUCGUAUGUUGAGCAUUUAGCUUGGGUGUACUCCGACCAUCGCGCUCGUCAGGUGCACGGUUGAGCCUGGGCCUGGUGGGGCCCGCCCGUUCCGUUUCCUGGCAGCUUAGACCACCCAUCCGAAGUUUGAACUUCUUGUGCGUCACUCUUGGGGAAAACCUUCUUCCACUUUAAUUGGAAAGCUGAACAAUGUUAAGGAGGCAUCUCUAGUGUUUAAUAGAGAGAAACGCUUGGCAACAUCCACAGGUAGGGAUGGCAAUAGGUCUUGGGCACCCGCAAAAAAUACCAACAAUGGGUAGGGUAAAAAUCCGUUAGACGGGUAUGAAAUUGGGCAUGGAUAAAUAUCCGCAAAAAGUAGUGGGUAUGAGUACUAUAGUACCCAACCCGCCUCAUUCCCACACACACAUAUUAUACUUACACANNNNNNNNNNNNNNNNNNNNNNNNNNNNNNNNNNNNNNNNNNNNNNNNNNNNNNNNNNNNNNNNNNNNNNNNNNNNNNNNNNNNNNNNNNNNNNNNNNNNNNNNNNNNNNNNNNNNNNNNNNNNNNNNNNNNNNNNNNNNNNNNNNNNNNNNNNNNNNNNNNNNNNNNNNNNNNNNNNNNNNNNNNNNNNNNNNNNNNNNNNNNNNNNNNNNNNNNNNNNNNNNNNNNNNNNNNNNNNNNNNNNNNNNNNNNNNNNNNNNNNNNNNNNNNNNNNNNNNNNNNNNNNNNNNNNNNNNNNNNNNNNNNNNNNNNNNNNNNNNNNNNNNNNNNNNNNNNNNNNNNNNNNNNNNNNNNNNNNNNNNNNNNNNNNNNNNNNNNNNNNNNNNNNNNNNNNNNNNNNNNNNNNNNNNNNNNNNNNNNNNNNNNNNNNNNNNNNNNNNNNNNNNNNNNNNNNNNNNNNNNNNNNNNNNNNNNNNNNNNNNNNNNNNNNNNNNNNNNNNNNNNNNNNNNNNNNNNNNNNNNNNNNNNNNNNNNNNNNNNNNNNNNNNNNNNNNNNNNNNNNNNNNNNNNNNNNNNNNNNNNNNNNNNNNNNNNNNNNNNNNNNNNNNNNNNNNNNNNNNNNNNNNNNNNNNNNNNNNNNNNNNNNNNNNNNNNNNNNNNNNNNNNNNNNNNNNNNNNNNNNNNNNNNNNNNNNNNNNNNNNNNNNNNNNNNNNNNNNNNNNNNNNNNNNNNNNNNNNNNNNNNNNNNNNNNNNNNNNNNNNNNNNNNNNNNNNNNNNNNNNNNNNNNNNNNNNNNNNNNNNNNNNNNNNNNNNNNNNNNNNNNNNNNNNNNNNNNNNNNNNNNNNNNNNNNNNNNNNNNNNNNNNNNNNNNNNNNNNNNNNNNNNNNNNNNNNNNNNNNNNNNNNNNNNNNNNNNNNNNNNNNNNNNNNNNNNNNNNNNNNNNNNNNNNNNNNNNNNNNNNNNNNNNNNNNNNNNNNNNNNNNNNNNNNNNNNNNNNNNAACCCUAAUCUCAUAGUGGGAAUCAUAAGAGUGGAGGAUCGUUUAAGCAACCCUAAUCUCGUAGUGGGAAUCAUAAGCGUCGAGGGGUCGUUUAAGCAACCCUAAUCUCAUAGUGGGAAUCAUAAGCGUCGAUGGAUCUUUUAAGCAACCCUAAUCUCAUAGUGGGUAUCAUAAGUGUCGGGGGAUCGUUUAAGCAACCCUAAUCUCAUAGUGGGAAUCAUAAGUGUCGAUGGAUUGUUUAAGCAACCCUAAUCUCAUAGUGGGAAUCAUAAGCGCCGAGGGAUCGUUUAAGCAACCCUAAUCUCAUAGUGGGAAUCAUAAGCGUCGAGGGAUCGUUUAAGCAACCCUAAUUUCAAUAAUGCAGAUUAUAUUUAAUGGAAAAAUAAAUAAAUUUUGAAUGCACUAAUUUUUUUAUAAGCGUCGAGGGAUCGUUUAAGCAACCCAUACAAUGAAAUGUAGGAUGUGCUCAUAAGGAAGUCAUUUGACUAUUAUGGGACCUUGGUCAAGUAUGUGUUCCCAAGGAAGAUCUGAAGCUGCAUUUGCAAAGCUGCAUGUUUUGAUGAUGGGGUCAAGGGGGGUUGGUUUCCAAAGUAUUGUUUUGUCAUGUCUGCAUGUGUAUGUAAUGCUCCCAUCUUUUGUGUAACUUUUAUCUCUUUGUUGCUGGACAAUUGUGGCCUGUUUGUGCCAGUCUUUUUCUUUAUUAAUGUUGCUUACUGUUGGACAAGUGUUGGACAAGUUUGGGCUGGUGUGCCCUUUUCUAUUUAUCUAUGGAUAAGUUUUGGCCUGAUGUGCCUUUUGUUAUUAUUGCUAUUUCCCUAUAUGGAUAAAUUGUGUGCAUGAUGUUUCAGGUUGUUUUGGUAUUUUAUUAGGUUCACAUAAAUAAUAAGGUCGUGCAUGAAGUGCCCCACAUGGAUACAUUUAGUGCAUGCAUGAUGCUUGAGUUGUUUUGCAAGUAAGGUUUAAUCACUUAUACUAUAUUCCAUUAUAAAUUUGUUUUUUUAAAUAUAACAAUUAGCAUCACAGGAUCAUGCUUGCUCUGAUUUUAUGUUAAAAUUAACAAUUAACAUCAAAGUUCAGUUUCAUGAUAUCAUAACAUAGCAUAAAAUAUAGAGUACCAAUGUAGAUCAUUACACACAACCUAAGGUUCAAGUAUUUAAUACCUAAUACAAAAUAAACUACUAUUUAACCCAUUUUGCUUGCAAAAGCAGUAGCAACAAGCAAAACCAGAAAACAAACGAUAACAAACACCCACGUGCCCAUAAUAAUAUUGACAUAAGCUUGCUCCCUCCUCCUUCCUUCAGCCAGCAAAAGUUUCAAUGUAGCAUCCUCAGUCCCAGCAGCAGAAGUCCCAGCAGCAGCAGCAGUAUCACUGUUCCUUUGUGAAUUAGUCACACUGGAAUGGUUCACUUGAGGUGCUUCAUCAACAGGCUGGGUAGGACCUUCAGCCCAAUCAAAAUAGUUGCAACCCUACACAUUUUGAAAUAAGACUAAGAAAGUUGAAUAUCGAAUAUUUUAUCCCUAAACCCCAAAAUAAAUAAUGGAUAAUUUACCCCAUGAGGGCAUUGAUAAAAUGUGCGCCCAUAAUUGAUCCUAGUCCACGCGAUUUUAAGAGUCGGAUAAAGACCUCACUUGCAACGCCUUCCAUCAUUCUGGGAAGAAAAUGAUUGGGAGGCCAUUUUUUGAACUACAAUUAUAAACAAAAAAGAAUAAUAACAUCAUUAAAAUUAACGAACGCUAAACAAAGCACAACCAUAGUUAUUAAAAACAAAUAAGAACACAAAUAAGCACAACCAAGAGUAACCACCACAAAAGGAAACAUAAAUGUGUUCUCAACAUCAAGUCAUGGCAACAAGUCUAACAAUCGAAACCUAAUUGCCAUCAAUGGCGCUGAAUCCUAACAUGUAGAACGUUAUUCGAACCACUAUGACUGAAAACGAGCUUGUCAUUUUCAGCUAAUUGGUUGUCACUCACAAACUUGUAAAACUCUUCGCCAAGAUGGCAAUCAGUAAGUUUUCCAUUCCUCUUCCUCCAACAGAGCUUGCAAAUAUACCAUUCUUGAUCCCCUUCCUUUUUCAAUAAUACUUUUUCCCAGCUAUGUUCAAGGAAGUCACGAACAUAUGACCGUGGCAAAGGCUGAUCAAAAUAAGAAAAGUCAACAGGAUUAGAGACAUGUAACUCUACAAGUUCAGCUAUCUAAAAAACACAAACAUUGAGAAUGCUUACCAAAGUAUGACCACCACCAGCAACAGAACUAGUGACAAUCUUCUCAAAGGUGUACCUUGCAUUCUGAACCUGGCCAACUGCAGCAACUUGAGGGCCAUCUGCCACAACCUCUUCCUCAGCCACAACAUCUUCAUCAACCACCACCUCAAANNNNNNNNNNNNNNNNNNNNNNNNNNNNNNNNNNNNNNNNNNNNNNNNNNNNNNNNNNNNNNNNNNNNNNNNNNNNNNNNNNNNNNNNNNNNNNNNNNNNNNNNNNNNNNNNNNNNNNNNNNNNNNNNNNNNNNNNNNNNNNNNNNNNNNNNNNNNNNNNNNNNNNNNNNNNNNNNNNNNNNNNNNNNNNNNNNNNNNNNNNNNNNNNNNNNNNNNNNNNNNNNNNNNNNNNNNNNNNNNNNNNNNNNNNNNNNNNNNNNNNNNNNNNNNNNNNNNNNNNNNNNNNNNNNNNNNNNNNNNNNNNNNNNNNNNNNNNNNNNNNNNNNNUUAGAGUCGGAUAAAGACCACACUUGCAACGCCUUCCAUCAUUCUGGGAAGAAAAUGAUUGGGAGGCCAUUUUUUGAACUACAAUUAUAAAAAAAAAAAUAAUACCAUUAAAAUUAACGAACGCUAAACAAAGCACAACCAUAGUUAUUAAAAACAAAUAAGUCCAAAAAAAAGCAAAACCAAGAGUAACCACCACAAAAGGAAACAUAAAUGUGUUCUCAACAUCAAGUCAUGGCAACAAGUCUAACAAUCGAAACCUAAUUGCCAUCAAUGGCGCUGAAUCCUAACAUGUAGAACGUUAUUCGAACCACUAUGACUGAAAACGAGCUUGUCAUUUUCAGCUAAUUGGUUGUCACUCACAAACUUGUAAAACUCUUCGCCAAGAUGGCAAUCAGUAAGUUUGUCAUUCCUCUUCCUCCAACAGAGCUUGCAAAUAUACCAUUCUUGAUCCCCUUCCUUUUUCAAUAAUACUUUUUCCCAGCUUUGGUCAAGGAAGUCACGAACAUAUGGUCGUGGCAAAGGCUGAUCAAAAUAAGAAAAGUCAACAGAAUUAGAGACAUGUAACUCUACAAGUUCAGCUAUCUAAAAAACACAAACAUUGAGAAUGCUUACCAAAGUAUGACCACCACCAGCAACAGAACUAGUGACAAUCUUCUCAAAGGUGUACCUUGCAUUCUGAACCUGGCCAACUGCAGCAACUUGAGGGCCAUCUGCCACAACCUCUUCCUCAGCCACAACAUCUUCAUCAACCACAACCUCAAACUCUUCCUCAGUGUCAGAACUCAAAUAUAAUACCUCUGGGGUUGGUGGUUCAUCAUGCCCUUUUUUAGCAGGUCUUGGACAAGGGAGAUGGGAUGGUGUUUUGUUCUUCUCUUUCAUCCCUUUUUGACCAGGUUUUACACAAGGGAAAUGGGUUGGUGCUUUGUACUUCCCUUUUUCACCACCAUUGGUUGGUGCUUUGUUCUUCCCUAUUUCACCACCAUUUGGAUAGGGGAAAUGGUUCUUAUUUUCGUCAUAAAUUUCAACUUUAAACCUAUUUCCCCCUUCAUAUUGAAAAACCAUAUCAUGGUUUUUUUUAAAACCAUAAAAUGAAACCAAGAUAGGAACAACAUAAUCAAGAAAGCCUCCAAGCAAGUCAGUCAAAACUUCCAACUUUACACAGUUUCCCUUCGGGUCAGUGAGCAGCACCUCAGACUUAAUUUCAUUUUUCUUCUUUUCAUAAAAAUCUUUUGGCAAUUUCAUGUGAAAAUUUCUCAAUAUUAUAGGGAUUGAAAACAUUUGGGGACUUCUACUACCAUAGAAACUAGAGAUACUACCACUGGGAUCCAUUGCUUCACAAUAAAAAUUGAGGGAGAUUUAAUCACCUAAAGAAUAACAAAAAAUUGAGUUAACAAACAACUUAUAUAUCAAAAAAAAUCAACCAACCCACAAGGGCACAAAGUUCAUUACUAUCAACAAGAACAAGAACAACAAGAACUGAACAAAACGCAGAGACAUUACUCAGCAAAAACCAUUUACCCCAAACAAUGGAAAAAAAAAUUAACUAGGCCGCCAUUUACACCAGAUCAACAAAGAUUGCAUUAACCCCAGAAAAACAAAGAAAAUAUCAAACCCUUGCACCCCAAUAAUCGUACACCACCCCGACAAGAUCAACAUGCAACACAAAAUCCCUAAAAUCCCUAACAUCAACACUCACAAUUUCCUGUUCCCACAAUGAAGCAAUUAAAACCACUAACCUUGUCACGGUGGUCAGAAAAUGAUAGCGACGAUCUACUCGACAACAACAAAGCUUCGUCCUUUUCAGCCCAACAACAACAAACACCAAAGCAUGGAAACAAAAGAAAAACCAAAACAAUUAAAACGGUGGUAACGAAAACCGACGACAAAGAAAAAGCAGAAAGAUAAAAAACCGCAAAGACAGAGGAGGAAGAGAGGACAACUGGAAAGAGUGAGACAAAUAAAAAACUACCUUGGUCGUCGGAGGAACUUCAGCAGAGGAGACGGAGUUGCACUAAGCUUGGUCUUUGUUUGGGAACCUGAAGCUUCUUAGGGAAGAUAAGUUUCAAAACCUUGGAAAAAGGUGAAAGGGUGAAAAGAUCAAUCAACUCUGACUACUCCAACCAUGGUUUACUUACUUUGGGUUAACUUAAUUGUUUUUCCUUUUUCUGUUAUUCAAAAACGAAAUAAUUGAAAAUAAAAAUUCAUGCCACUUGUCUCUAUCUAAUUGGUCCACGUCAUACCCAACUUAUUUCUGUAUCAUACCCAAACAAAUUGUUGUGGUAUCGUAGCAUGCACCAAACAAAAAAUGGCUGUUCUUAACUUUUGGUUCUUACCACCGAUCAUCUAGACUCAAAGUGUCACAUAGGAUCUAAGUUACUUAUAAGUAAUUGAUGUAGAUUUUACUCCAAUUACGAGUUUUAAAUUUUGAGUUCUUAGCACUAUUUUUCUAGUCCAACAAUACAAUAUUAUUUAUAUUUUUUAUUUCCAUAGAGCAAUAAAACACACAUAAAGUAAUAAAGCAAAUAUGAAUAAGAGAAAAAAAAAUUUUUAUACUAAGAACUAAUAAAGUCAAGUUACUUAUAUAAGAACUGAUUUAAGAAUUAAGAACUUCACAUCAGCAUUCAACACUCUUCAAUGCUUGUCUCUAACUGUUUGCUCUUUACAUUGUGAUAUUGCUCGCGCGAGAUUUAUUCUCAUCUGGAUUUUGAAUGGAAUUUGAUUCAUUGACAAAAAAAAAAACCAAAUACCUUUAUAUAUAUUUUUUUCAUUUUAAAGUUAGUGGCCCAUUAAGGAGGGAUCGACUAUAUUAUACUUUUUUUCAUCAACAAACUAUACUUGUCAACUAUAUCAGUAAUUUUAUUACCAAAAAAUGUUAUAAUAAUAUUUGAAAGAAAAGAUUAUAAUAUUUAAUUAAAAUUUGUAAAUUCAUCUUAAAAAAAUUAUUUUGAAACACUUAAAAAAUGUUACUUUAUUUAAUAUUCUAAUUUUAUUUUAAUUUUUAAUAUAGAAUCUAUAUUAAAAUUAUUUGAAGUAUAAAAUAACAAGUUGAAUAAUAUUCUAUGAAAGGGUAAAAUAGCAAAUGUGAAAACAACACUCUUUUCCUUUCAUUUUCUUUUCUUUUUCACUCAAUCCAAACAACUCAAAAAUCAACUCACUUUCCAUUUAUAUUCUUUUCUCUUUUAUUCCUUUCAUUUUAUAUUCAUUUCACUCAUUUUCAUUCCUAUAACCAAACAAACACACUAAAGUAUUGUUGAGCCAAAGCAAGCAUAUCCAUCCUAAAAUUAGUUUGUUUUUCUAUGUCAUUUCCUAAGACUUAGGAUCAUAUAUUUACUUGAGCGAUAAAAUGCACUUGUUCGGGUUUGCGUGCGAAUCUUCAACGUUAUGCCAAUAUUAUUUAAAGUUGGAUGUCAAUUAUGUGUGUUUGGUUUAACCGACUAUUUUCGACCUAAUGAUGUCUCAUUUGAACGUGACUACUAGUCAAAAGAGCCAUCAACAAGAUGGAAACUCACUCAACAAUGGAAGAACCCAAACAUAAUCACUAUGAUCGUCAUCUCGGGAAACUCCCUCUCACAUUCUCAUAUCUUCCCUAACAAUCUCCUAACGAACCCUUAAAUUCUCUAAAACGUUUAUGGCGCUUAACUAAUUGAAUAUUGGAUUGUCAAAUUCAUCCACCACCUCCACAAAGCGACGCUCAACACUCACGCUACGCUGAUAGGUAGGUGUACCUCUCUUCACUCACCAAUUUCACUGCCUUCUGCUAAAAAAACUCGCAUUUUCCCCAUUCUUACCUUUCCAGUUGGAUCCAUUAAGUAUACAUUCUCUGAUUUUCCCAUCCUCUUGUCUUUUCUUUUGUUGAAUGAAUUCAGUUCCCCAAUCUCCAAUUAUUACAGGGUUUAGUUUAGUUAUGAGAUAGAAACUUGCUGAGCUUAAUGAUUUUGAGUAGCAAUGGUCAAAACCAGCUCAGUGGUAUUGACCUAGAUUCAGGAAUGAGGUCUCACAAUUUAUAAUCCCUCAUAUUUAUUAGAUUAUGUAGAUUGUAGACUAUUAUAAUUCGUCCGAAUUUGAAAAUGUUUCUGUUUUACUUACUUUGAUUUAUUUUAUCAGGGUGAUUGGUGAUACAAUUUUUUCUAUUUGAAUGGUGAUUCAUUGCACAUACUUUUGCAAAUUGCAAUUUAAUGUUAGAUAGAAACAUACUUCUCCAAUGUCUAUUCACCGAAAUCUAAUGCUUCCUGGAUAUUCUUCUGCAGGAAAGCAUGUGCAGCCUGGAGGUAUGCUUAUUGGAUCUUCAUCAUAUCUUGUUUGACAUUGAAGAUUUUGUCUUCUUUAACUAGUAAAAUUCAGUAUUUAAGGAAUAAAAACUUGUUUUCUGAUGGUCAUUAAUAUAUAGGUGAUUUAUAAUAGUAGUUUUUUUUUUAAAAACUUUUAAGGGAUAGUAAACCAUCACUGGUUUAUGGAGGUUAUUUAGGUGAUAUUCUAUAGCAGUUUACAGUUUUUAUCAGAGUUAUAGAGGUUCCUUGCUAUCUGAGUAGGAUGUACUAGAUUUCAUCAGAAUCAGAUAAAUAAAAUUUCUUUGUUCUGAAAAGAAAAACACCAAUCAAUAAAAUCCUAAACCCUGAAAAAUACUUGCAUUCUUCGCAUCAGAUUUGGGUAGCCUUUCAGUCCUUUCCUUCUGUUUCAGCUAUUGAUUUCAUCGGCUUGGCUCCAACAAAUAAAUAGUUGAGGCUAUCUUCAAUGUCAAACAAUCCAUACUCAAUAUACUCAUAAGCAUGCUUACCAAGAACAUCCUGAAAUCUCCCAAUGAAGUUCCCAUAUGCAGGCAACAAAAUAUCGUUCACAGAUAUCCUUAUUUCUUCCCUGAGCUGCUCAUCAAUGACAGACCAUGUAGACUGAACUCUGCAUAUCUCCUCGAAGUGCAUGUUGAACAAAUUGAGCUUGUCUUUCAUUAAAUCUGCUGCAACAUUGGGUGCCUCUGAUUCAUUGCUUUCAACCUUCAAAAUGUCCAGCAUCUUAUUCCAUGAGCUUCCUCGAUAUUGUUCAAGAUUUUUUUGGACUUUUGCUCUGUUAUUUUGGAACAAAUCAUGGCCAUACAUGGUUCCUAGUGCCACUUCUAUGAGCCUCCAAUUAUUCAUCAUGAAGAAGUAGGGUAAAGCAGGGUCCUUGUAGUUUUCGGAUUUCUCUACCAGUGUUUUCUCUAGCAGCUUCAAUGUCCGCUUCAUCUGCGUCAUGAAGGAAGAUGUUUCAGCUCCUGUAGCUACCUUGGGGUAUUGUUGUAGAAUUUGCUCCAGGAUCUGUUGUGACCUGUAAGCAGAAUUAAGGUAGGCCACGAUGUUGUUCAUCAUGGGAUGAUGCCCACCAUUGGGCGGUGCAAGUAGCUUGACCUCUGGAAUAUCGAAAACCAGAAUCUCAAAUUCCAUGAAAAGGUCCCGGCUUGCUUCUCCUAAUCUGUUUUGGACUGCUAUUGCUUCAUUCACCAACGGAUUAGGAAACAAUAAGGAUUGGAACUCUGGAAUCAGAGCAUUUAAUGUCAUAAACAUGUCAAGGAUUUUGAACAAACGAUAUGCCGAAGGACUUCCGUCUGCAACUGCAGCAGCAAAAUUCAGCAUCUGAAUCAUGGGCCCUUGACAAACUUGUGUGAAACAACUAUCAGCAGCAGAGGAGAACCCUGAGAAGAUACGAUUGCAGAGUCGCCAUUCACGAAAUAGUAUCAAUAGAGCAACCUGGGAAGCUUCAAUCCAUCUCUCAACCCUUUUAUCCAAACAUGUCUUCUUUUCAUGUUCAUUCUCUAUCUCAUUCUCUUGCAACUCUAAUAAUUUAUUUAUCAAGCACUCUUCCAACCAUCUCCUUCGCCAACUACUGUACACCUUGGAGCAUUCUUCCUCAAACCCUGAGGCCACCAUCAGUUUCACUGUUUUGUGGAGGCUGUUGAUACGUUCCGAUGGCAGUGCAUCGAUCACGAAGUUAAUGUCGGUCCUAAGUAGCAUAGACUUAUCGUCGACGUGUUCCUUUGGCAUCAAAAGUAUGUUGGUGAGUUUACAAUCGUGCUGCUGAAGCCCCUUCAUACAAUUUGAGAGUUGUUGCAUCAUGCCAGCAAUAUCAGUACUGACCAAUUGUGGUGAAUCGACUUCAAUGACUUCAGAAUGUUCAUUUUCAGGUGCACCAUCUGUGUAAAAGAAGAGAGAAUGAAGAAGGAAUAUAUAAACAUGCUCCAACAAUAAGUAACUUUUAUUUAAUUUAUAAACAUGCUCCAACAAUAAGUUGAUCUUCAAAUCUGCUGAGUAAGAAUUGCUUUCACAGACAUAUACCGUUUUUAAGAUGUAAUUAUGAACAAAGUUGCUUAUUUUACUCAAAAUAAAAUUUUAUCACAGAAUAACACAAAGUAGUUUAGUUUUCCUAUAAAAUAUUGUAUAUAAGUUUGCAAUACAUAUUUUUUAUCUGAAGCAUUUACAUUUUAUAAGUAGAACUUCUAAACUAGUUAAAACAUGUACGGAUUUCAAUCGACCUCAAUUAUAAGAAAAUGCCAAUAAAGUUAUUUUGUGUGUGGUGGCUAACACAAAAAUCACUCUGAUAUUUAUCACCAAAUGCUUGCAUCCAUGCGCGCAACCUUUUUGUUUUUCAGGCCAAAACAAUGAGAUAUAACAAUUUACCGUAUGCAUGAAACUACGUUGUUACUUUGCUAAAGAAUGAUGUCUGUAAAUUAAUAGAAAAUUUUAGGUAAAUGGAUUUAUUAAAAUUAGGGAGGUUCAACCCAAAAGCUAGCUAAAGAGUUGAGGGUUGCUCUAAACUUUAGAGCUAGGCAUCUGGAGCUUGAAAUGAACAUCAACUGGUGGUCCAAAUAUGGGAGGUCUCCACAAUAAAUAAGAAUUUGGGAGACCUAACUCAACACAAAUAUCUCUAGCCAAUGCAGGACUUCUAACGGGAUUCAAGAUAAAAUUAACUGCUACAUUGUUAAGCUUUUCUUCUAACCUGGUUCCCAUUUAUCUUCAGCAAAUGGAACAAAAGAUGCAACACUGCUGACAUUGCUACAACUAGAGGUGAACAUAGCAUCAACCAUAUCUGCUAUCGGAUAAUCAGUACUAUAUUCUGAAGUAGAGGGCCCAACACCGCCACCAGUGCUACCAGAACCGCUAAGCUGCUGGACAAGGUUCUUGAAAGAUUGCCCUGAAACUGAAGAUGAUGAUGGAGAAAACUGGAGGGACAUGGUGGGUUGAGUCAUGUAUUUUGAGAUAUCCACUUGUUGUGAUGGUAGAAGCAACGAUGGUUCUGCUAAGGACAUGUAGCAGGUAUGUUCAUUUCGGUAUGUUACUUCAUAUAUUUCCGGAGUGUCAUCAAGUCGUUGUACUCGCUUCUUGGCUAGGCACUUCUGACGGGUGCACCGGUAGUAAUUUCUGGAAAGGAAGAAACAUUUCAAACCAUGAAAGGAAAUAUAUAAUUGAAAAUGGGCUAUUAGUCUUCUGCUAUCAAUUUGUCAUUAAGUAGUCAAUUUAAUGUGAAGGGGCACCAAUAUAUUCAUAACGUGAGCAUGAAUUUGACAUUUCUGAGACUUGUUACAGAUUUUUAGAUUUGGAAUGUGCAAAUUUAAUACAAAGGUCACUUUGAAUUGAGACUCUUAAAUUCUACAUGCUACUACCUUAUGAUUGUUGGAAUAUUUUGUGGACGGCUGUUAUUACUUAUUAGUGGUGUUUCAAUUUAUGUUACCAAGACAGUGUUUCAGUUUAUGUUUCAAUUAGUAAUAUACCUGGGGUACUUGGAGGCAUGUAUUACUUUCUGGCCAUAUUUUCUCCAAGUAAAACCAUCUUCGGGUGGCAUCCCUAGGUCUCCAACCUGUGGUGCGGGAAACCUCACUGUUCUUUCCGGAGCAUUCUUCGUUCUGCUAAUUAAUGUGGUCAGUGUCGAAGAAUUUACUAUUCUUUAAUAGAAUUGUAUUAAGCAUCGGGGUUGUAGUAAGAUCUACAAAAUGAUAUGAUUUAAGAGCAGUGUAAUUAACAGGAAGUAUUCAACGGAACUUGAAUCGUGAGGAUGUGUUAAUCAUUAGCACCUAUUGAGAGGCUGUUACCUGCCAGGCAAAUCCUGCACUGAAGUUGCAGCACUUUGCUUUGUCAUGGUUCUUCGAAAUUGCAAAAGGUAUUGUCGAACUUUAGUAGUAUGCUUUUGUAUCCAAUCAUCCCCCAAAAGCGUUCCCAAUUCACUAUCUUUGGCCUUCUGAACUAUAUAAUCACCGUUAUUCAUCAAGAAAACAAAGCCUACAGCAGGGUCUUUGUAGAACGUGGACUUUGCUUCUAGAUUGCUCUCUAAUAGCUCUAUAAUCCAAUGCAUCUGCGCGGAGAGUGAGUAGUUUUCAAAUACCUUUUCUAGGGUCUGCCAGGACCGGCAAGUUUCUUGGAGGUAGUACAUCACGUAGCGGGUAAAUGGAUGAACUGCGCCACCGGGAGCAGCUUCCUUUGCUGGAUCACGCCAGACCAAACUCUCCAACACAUUGAGAAUGCCCCUGAUUGCUUCUCCCAAUCUCUUCCAAAUCGUGAUUGCUUUGUUCCUGAGUGACAAACUGUACUGAUCACAAAACAAAGACUCGUACUCAGGAAUCAGUUCAGUCAACGUCUCGAACACCUCUAGGAUUCUUGACAACCGCUGCAGUGAGCGUUUACCGAUGGCGACAACAUCAGCAAAAUUUAGUAGCUGAAUGACCGAUCCCCUGCAAACUUCUGUGAAGGAGAAAUCGGCAGCAGAUGAGAAUCCCAAUAAGAUACGGUCACAAAGUUGCCGCUCGUUGGGGAACAGUAUCUUGAGAGCUACGUUGGAUGCCUUAACCCAUCUUCCAAAUCCAGUCUCGUCUUUGAGGUCCUGCCAUGCCAUCUUGUGAGUGUCCCCCAAUAGAUUCUUCAACCAUUCCUCCCGCCAGCUGCUGUACACGGCGAAGAACACCUUCUCAAAUCCCGCUUCCACCAUCAACUUGGCAGUUUUGUGAAAUUUAUUCAAAGUCUCUGAUGGCAGUGCAUCGAUGAUGAAGUUGUGGUCCGUCGCCACCAGUUCAGAGUUAUGUUCAAGGUAUUCCUUCACCCGCUCCAAAAGCAAUUUCCGGAGAUUUGAAUCAUGUUGUUGAAGGUCCUUCAAAUGAGUAGAGAGCUGCUGCGUGACACUAGCAAUAUCAGUACGGGCAAGAUGUUGUGAAUCGACUAAAAUGUCUAUGGAAGGCUCUUCUUGAGGUGCAGGAAUGUGAUCAAUUUUGGGUAAUCCGUCAAUGGAAGAAAAGGAAGAACGAAGGACAAUAAGUGAAUAGCUGAACCCUGCUCCAACAAUAACUAACACCAAUUUAGUUUUCAUGAGUUGUACCAUUAGACAUCCCAGAAAGAAAUACAGAAGAUCAACUUCGAAACCGCACUGGAUUUGCCUUGAUAUGCUGAGUGACAUGAUAGCAAAAGCAGCACAUGAAAUCAGGCUGUAUACAUCUGGUUUCCCAUUCAUCACUUUAUCAGAGAUAAAUGAAUAGAGUGAGGUGAUGGUCAAGACCAAAAAUGCCAAGUGAGCUUUGAACUGCAGACUUCUAGAAUGUCUCCAUUUCUUUGCAAACAACAUCAUGAGGGACAUGAUAACGCUGAAAACACUAUAAAGAGAUAUCUUAAAGAAAGUCCAAUCUCCAAAUAGAUGGUUGAAGGAAGAGCUCAGAGCAUUACAGAGCAGUCCAACAACAGCUGAAGCAAAACUCACAAAUCUCCAAACAUUUGGCUGCAUCAGCCAACUCAGAAUCUGGAUUAGCCAGCGUGUCAUGUUCUCUUUGAACUGAGCAAGAAUUGGUUUCACACUGAAUUAUACAAAGGCCAACCAUUUUAUAGAUUUGGAUGAGAAACUUUCCUCAACUUUCAAAUGAAUUUUCGAAGAAAGGGCCAAGAGCUAUUCAAUGAAAUUUCGAAGAAACUAUCCAACACCCAUGUAUUUAAUCACCCAAAAGAGAUGGAAAUUCUUCGGUCUCUAAUUUCUGUCCCUGCCCGGUCCCUCCAGUGAUAGUUUCUUUACCCGUCUGUUGUGGACCAUACUUGCUGUCAAGUGCAUUGAGCCAUUGACAAAAAAUUGUGGAAAAAGUUUAGUUUACAGUACAUUUACACCCACACUUACACAUUGUUUGGUAUAAUUGAUUUUGGAAAUGGAGGGUUAGAGAGGAGAGACUUACACUUUGUUUGGUAUAAGACUAUAAUGCUUUGUUUGUUAGGAGAGAGAUAGAAGAGAGAGAGAUGCAAGAGAGAGAGAUAGGAGAGAGAUGGGGGAAGCAUCCUUGUUUGGUGGGAGAGAGGAGGGAGGGAGGAGGGGGUUGUAGAGGUGGGGACCACCCCUUUUUGGAGUCUCUCCAAUUUGGAGAGAAAUUGAACAGUAACCGUGGGCUGCAUUUUUUUAUUUUUUUUUCUACUUUUAGCCAACUUAGUGGCGGUUUUUAACCCCCACUUUGUUACUUUUUUUCAAAAAAAUAUUAUUUUAAUCUAAAGUUAAUCUUUUCUCUCUCUUCCACCUCAUUAUUUCUCAUCUCUCUCUCCUGUAUCACUAUCAUACCAAACAACCUCUUAAAUCCACUCUAUUUCUCACAUAUUUCUCUCUACUCAAUCUCUCUCUUCUCUACUCUCUCUUCUCUAUCUCUCUCUACCCUACCAAACAUAGUGUAAGAGAGAGUUAGAGAAGAGAGAUUGAGAGAAGAGAGAGUUAGAGGAGAGAUGGUGAAAUCAUCCUUGUUUGGUGGAGGAGAGAUUCAGGUGAGAGAGAGAUAGAGGGGGCCAAAUUUUAACUUUUUGUUCUCUUCGCAAUUUGCGACGAGAAACAUUCAUGCCCCCUUUUUUUUCUCCUAUUAUGUGCAAUUACUAUAUUUUACAUAUUGCUGUUCUGUGCAGUUAGUGGUUUAGAACCGACACUAUCUCCAUUGACACAUUUUUUGUAAAAAAAUGUUUUUUUAAUCAAAAGUAAUUUUUUCUCUUUCUUCCACCUCAUUAUUUCUAAUUUCUUUCUCCUUUAUUUUUAUCAUACCAAACAACCUCUAAAUAUAUUCGAUUUUUCACAUAUUUCUCUCUACUCAACUUCUCUCUUCUCUAUCUUUCUACUCUACCAAACAAAGUGUUAGAACGGAGAGAAAGACCUAACCUUAUUUGGUAGGGAAGAGUGAGAGAGUAAAGAGAUAAGAACAUGUGGGACCCAUGAUCUUUUUGUGGUCUCACCGAUUUGAAGAGAAAGAAAGAAGAGGUGGCUUAUAGGGUGCAAGUGCAUCCUAAGUCUUGCACCACAUAAGAUCUAUUUUAACCUGUUGUAACUAACAUGUAAUAGGAAUCUAAUGAAAAAUAAAUAAAAAUAUUAUAUUAGAAAACUACCCUCCAUUGCUCUUCCCUCUCCUUUCUCUUUGGGUGCCGACGCACCUCCACCUCGCUCCUUUCUUUCAACGGAACUCGAGCAACCUCCAUGGCCACCUCCAUCGAAACCCAGGUCCCAAUCAAAACACAUCGCCCAAACCACCAUCCAAACCACAUCAACCUUCCAUCACAGACAAAUUGAAGCAUCCCAAUUCCCAACCUGUCACCAAACAAAGAAUUAGCUCCACAUUGAAGAACAACAACACGCCUCCCCCUUCCAGACGAAAAGUUUCCACGAUUCACAGAAACUAACAUCACCAAUCACAUAGAAUAAAAUCAAAGCAUAAACGAUUGCACAAAUUCACAGAAACCUUGUUGAAAAAAUAGUUGUCGAUAAAAGAGCCGCAAAGGGAGGUUUCUUACACAAGUUCACAGAAUUCAAAGAAACCAUGAAGGAGGACCACAUACAUCACAGGAAAAUUCGAAGUGGAGUGUAAUGUGAUGCUAAGAAAUUAGAGGAUUCGAGAAAGAGGGCUUGUAGAUUUGAUGCCCCAAAUCUUGUGUUUGCACAAAUCUGGGUUUUUUUUUUUUUUUAUGUUCAAUUAGUUGUGCCUUUUUCUGAUGUUUUCUAAAAAAUAUGGGUUUCAAGGAUCCGAACGCAGAUUUGGGUUUUCAUGUGUGGCGACUGCGGCGGUUGCUGGUGCUUUCAGUGGAAAAGAGGAGCGACGGUGGAGGAAGAAUGUGGAGGAGGGGAGGAUGUCGGAAACCAGAAGAGGAGAGAGAGGAUAGCAUAGGAGUAUUUGGGAGGGGUCAGGGCAUAACAGUCAAAGUGAAAUAAAAUUAAAAAAAAUUAACAAAUAGAAUGUUACAGUUUCACCAAGUUACAUAUAUGGUAUCUAUAUGGAAUAUUUCAUUCUUGUGGCUAAAUCAUCAUGCACAUGACUUCAUCACUAUUGCACCUUAUAACUUAUAACUCACCUAAAGAAGAGAAUGUGUAAUUUCACUUUCUCAAUUAUUAUAUUCAUUUAUAAAUAUUUAUAAUUUAAGAGAAAUAUGUUAUUUCAUAUAAAGGUAAUUUUCUCUCUUUCCAUUCUCUACCCAACCAAACUAAAAAGAGAAGAGACACCUCAUUCUUUCUCUUCUCUUUCUUUCAUACCAAACAACCUACUUGGCUGAUUGAUUAUUUGGAAUCAAUGGGUCAUAAGAUGGCGUUGCUAAUAACGACACCAAUGAGUGGCACCUAAUUAUGGAAAUAUUUUUGAGAUUUUGUGUCACUGAUGUGAAAGGAACGAGUGGAAAAACUCCGCUAGAAGAGAUGAAUGGGGACUUAUGAAACAAUACAUUCGGGUGGGGUUUAAAUCUUAGGCAAAGUUAUGGGAAGAUAAACUAUUGUUGGGAUAUUUUUGAAGCUUUUGUUGUCAUCGCAUUUUUAUUGCUACUUCUUUACUUCUUAAUUUUAGUUGUUCUACUUCAGGAGUGAAGAUUUUCUAUCCUUAAAUGAUGUUCCAAUUUUGUGUCUCACCAAUGAAAUCUUAUCAUGUCAAUUUUUCAUGUCAAUUAAAAUUGACAUGAGUGAGUUAGUUACAAACUAAUAUGUGUUUUUUUUAAUUGACAUAUUAAAAUUUUAUUUGUAGAACAGAGAAUGAGACAUAGUUUAGGGACAUAAGAUUUCAAUUCUUUAGACCUCUGUCGGGUCUACAAAGAGAGCUCUUGGUGGAGUAUUGGUUAAUUCACAAAACGUGUGUGUCUCUUCAUUUUUCAAGGUCUUUAUGCACCACAAGUCCGGGCAUGGGAGAGAUUUCUGAUGAGGAAUAUGAUGGUUUAGCUCAUCUCCUUCUCCAACUUCUGUCACAAUGAUCUUGGAGUUCUCAUUCUCACACUUGGAUAUAGAAGCCAUGUUGUGCACAAAUUGGCACAAGUCCCUCACCAGCUUCCCUGAGAGUGGCCCUUCAUGGUACACCCCAUAUAUGAAGUAGAACCCAAAUGGAUUGAAGAAAUCAGGCAAGGUUGGAAAUUUCAAGCAUGGUAAGAUUUUACCAAUCAAGUUCCAACUCUUUAUGAAUAACAAGCAAGACAAAGGUGCUUUCCCUAUCCUUAGGUUGUAGAUUUCACCACUGUUCCACACACUAAGCAUAGCCCAACUAUGAGGCACUUUUCCAUCUGACUCACACCAGCCACUAUCUUCUUUAAAAUAAGCCACCCAUGUCCCCAAGCUUAGCUUGUUCCUUAGUAUAUUUUCUAUGUCAAUAGGGAAGAACUCAGUGGAGCCCAUGAAUCUUCUAUAGAGGGAUUCAGCCUUUUCAAUCUUGAGCCUAGCUAUCUCAAUGUUGGGUGAGAUUUGAACUGAGUGAUGAUUCACUGGGUUUACUAGCACAGCCAGAGUCCUGAACUUAGUGUAGCCAAACUUUCCCAUGAAGAAACUCACUGAGGCAUGGUCAUCUUUCUCUGUGGCCACAUAUGUAUAGUCUACAUCAUUGGAAAUGAACCAUUCUUCUAGCCUUUGCACUAGGUUGGAGCCAAUUCCCUUUCUCUGAGAAUGGGGUGCAACCCUUAGGCCUAGGACAUAGCCUACCUUGGCCAAAUCAUGUGGAGCAUGACCAUGAAUUGUGAGCACUUUUAUUGAGCCUUGAAUGACACCAACCAAUUCAUUGUCCUGAUCCUCUGCUACCUAAAACCAAAUUGACCAAUAACGGGUAUAUAAGACAAUCAAAGAACAAGCCCAAGACAAGGAAGAUUAAAAGCUCAUCUGGAUACAGUUUAUUGGAAUUUAUGUACUAAAUAUUGCAUUAUAUAAGCUCGAAUAUGUGCUCCUUAGUUUGCAUCCUAAUAUAUACUAAGUGCUUGUAUAUAAAUCUUUCUACAAUUGAUUCCAAAGCUAAAAUCAAUGUUGGCAAGAAGCAUCAGGUGUUCAAAUUGAUUCUGAGAAAAUUGAAGCUAAUUCAAACAUGGUAUAUGAAGACUUAGCAAGUAUAGUUAUGAAUAUUGGUAUGGUAAGAUCAUAGUAUAGUGAGUGUACCAGCAUCAUGUACAUAGAACUGUUUCGAAUCCUACAGAUUGGGUCACCCAUAGUGUCUAACACACUUUCUGAUGGCCCUACCUUGCAUCUUCUCUCAAGGUCUUCCACUCGAGACUUAUCAGAUUGACCCUCAUAGCUUCAAAUUAUGAACUCUUUGAAUGCCAUAAUCUAGAAGAGAUGAUGAUCUUAUUGAAGGAGCUGCUUGACUUGUGCGUGAAGCAAAUGAAAGAAAAGAAAAAGAAAGGAAGCUUUCAAAGCUAAAUAAGGUAUGUACACCAUGUGACAAAAAUAGUUCAACCAACUAGAAGUUAUGGUACAAGUACUAUAACAAGAAUGGUUUGGCAAAGACUACAUGAUGAUAAUCAUUUAUAAGCAGGGGAUGUAUGGAAAAAGAGAAGGGGAUAGAGAGAGAUAAUAUAAAUUGAAAGAGAGGAAUCUAGGUAGGAAAGUGCGAAUGUUUAUCAUAAUUUAAUAACAUAGUAGUAGACAAAUUCAGAUUAAUAAUAGAAUGUACUUUUUUUUGUCUUCAGCAUUUUGGUGCCCAUUACUUGCAUGUAGCAUAAUCUUUUUUAUAUAUAUGUCAACCUAUCAAGAAAGACGAACAUAGUGAAACAUAUUGAUAAGGUGCACGCCUAAGGACGUGUGUUUUUUGUGGAGAAAGAAAAAGAAUUCCGUUUUUGUCCAAUCCAGAUUUGUUUAGUGAACAUUGAAUCAUUCAUAUUUUAUUUUCUCUUUCAUCUCAUUCAUAUAUAUCUCAUUUUCUUUUUUCUAUCUAUCUCUUAUAAUGCAGGUGUCACAGAGAAUGGAGCUCAUGUGCCACAGUCAUUGCUUCUUGAAGGUCAGAGUUGGCUCUUUCAAGUAACCCCUGCCUCUAGUGGUUUGUAGUGUGUGGGCGGCAAGAUUCGGCGUUGGAGAGUACAUGAAGCGUUAAUGUGGGUUAAUUUCAAAAAAAUUCAUAUUGAGAGUAUUAGGGUUAUUUGACAUUUUAAACUGGAUCCUUUAAUUUUUUUAGUAUUAUAUUCAGUGACGGAUCCAGAAAUUUUAUGUAGUGAGAGCAAAAUAUACAUAUAAAUUCGUAAGAGAAAAAAAUUAACAUAUACUGUUAGAAGUGAGAACAUUUUUUACCAAAAAAGACACGAGUGAAAACAUUUUUUACUAAAGGGGCCACCAAAAACCACAUAUUUUUACUACCCAAGUGAGAGCAUUUAACAAUGUGGGGCACAAGUGAGGACAUUUAGCAAUAUGAGACAAAAGUGAGGGCAAUUUUUAUCAAAGAAAUCAUAAAAACUCACAUACUUUUACUACUCAAUUUUUUUUUUCUGAUUUUUUUUUUCAUAUUCAAGUGAGGGCACUUGCCCUCAUACUUGUCUACUUAGAUCCGUCACUGAUUAUAUCCAACAGAUAAAAUGACUGGUGUACGAAUAGACCAACUAAUUAGGUGGUGCACGCCAUAAUCAUACAUGAAUCAAAUCCCUAUCCAUGUAUUUAAUUAUAUUUAAUUGAUAUGAUAGAAAAAUCAAUACAAAAUUUCUAACUUAUAAUGUGUUCCGUUAUAGAACAGGGGUCGUAAGCUCAAACAUCAAAUCCAAGCUUAGAGAUGAUGAAUAGUGCUAGUGUGAAGUUGGUGUAGAGUGAAGAAGAUGUCUUUCCCAUAACUUUUUGGUCCCUCUUAUAAGCUCUUUCCAGCCUCUUAGGCUGCUAGAGGUUGCUGGAGGUUUCUCCCCUGCAUCAUUGUGUGUAUUGCCUUACAAAUGUGAUGGUUGUGGCUCUCAUGACUUGGGGUUAUUGACGAUUAUUUAUUUCUAGAGUCAUAAUGCGGAACAUACUAGGGGCAACCAUCAAAUGUUUUAGGAAAGGGUGUCUCGGAUAUUCUGCUGAGCAGGGAGAUCAUAGCCCUCCAAGCCCUUAAACGCGCGGGCUUUAAGGUCCAAAAAUCACUCGGAUAUCAUAAUGCAUAUGAAAUUAUAACUUGAACAUAUUUUAAUUCUGGUUUGAACUCCAACUUCUACUUCGAGUUUAAGGUAUGAAUUUCAAGAACUUUAAACUACAAUACAGAUUUAACGGCUCGGGUUUUGUAGGAAAAGAGAUUUAAAUAGAGUGGAUAUAAAUUUUUAUUAGAGCAAGGGAAUAUUCUCAUCCGAUUAAUUAAAAAACUACAAUAUGUUGUGUGGUUGUGGCCCCUCUCAUUAGACAUGAGAUUCGAAAGUGAAAGUUAAAUCGCACUAACAAAGCAAUCCUCUAAUUAUAAAUUUAAUAAGAGUGCCUUAAAUUCCAAGGGUAAACUGCUACCACAAACUAAAUUUAGUUGGAAGCAUUGCAAACAUCAAAAGAGUAGUUGUACGUAAAUGUAAAAUGGCCUCUCUUAUUAAAACUUAAGGGUCCUUAAUUGAUAAAAAAAUGGUCUUUAUAUCUUCACAGAAAAACAUUACUCACUUUGUCCCAAUUUAUAUGUCAUAUUUACCAAGUUUUUCAGUUUGAUUGUAAUGUUGAGGAAGAUAUAAAAAUCUUGUAACAGAACCAAAGCCACCUCUGCCAAUUUUAUUUGCAGCAUCAAUUUGAUUUAUGCUUCCCAUGCUUUGAUUUGUAUUUUUCUUGAUUUAUGACAUUUUUCUUUAGUUUGAAAGCAAGGCAUAGCAUUUGCUUUGUUAAUGCCACAAAAGGAGUUUUCUUCAUUUCCUUUGUGUCAUUGAGUCUUGCUUGCUUUAAUUGAACGGCUUGUGUUUGAGAUGAAGAUGUUUUAGUUUGAUUGUGAAUUUGGCAUGCUUUACCAUGUUGUAUGCUUGCUGGAUUCUGAGGAAUAUUGUUGAUUUAAUUGAUUUCUCUGUUAUGUAUAUAACAUGAACUGCUCAACAACUUGCUUGAUGUAAAUUAUAUGAGAAUCUAUUUGUUAUUAAUAUUGAUUUGAUGAAUUCUUAAGUAUAUUUAAUUUGACUUAUGCUUGUUGAAUUUUGGAAUAACAUGUGAUUAUCCUGACUUGAUUAUUGGAUUGAAAUUGUUGACUAACCUUGGCAUAUAGGGCUUGAACUUAAAGUAGCAAUGAGGUGAUGUUGUCCCACGUGAUUGUCUCGUCUUUUGAGAUGUUAUAAAGUGGGAAUGAGGUGGUGUUGUCCCACGUGAUUGUCUCGUCUUUCGAGAGUUAUAAAGUGGCGAUGAGGUGAUGUUGUCCCACGUGAUUGCCAUGUCUUAAAGACGUUCUUGAUCGACCCAUCUUAGUAGUGACGUACAGUCGCACUACAGGGCACUUAUAUUGAACUUGAUUGAUAUUUGGUUUGAUUUCAUGUUGUCGGAUAUGUGUUUUCAUCUAUCUUGAAUUAAAUUGGUAGCUUAUUUACCAUGUCAUGUAUUAAAUUCGAAAAACAUGUUUUUCUUUCUUAUGUGAAGUAAUUGUAUGUACUUAACCAUUUUUGUUAGCUACUUGUUGUUUGGGUGCUUAAUGCUUUUAGGAGUUGGAGAACCUUCGACGAAGCUUAACCUGUAAGACCCCGAAAUAAAUAACUAGUUAAUUUAUCUAUUUUUGUUGUAUUAAAUGAUUGAGUGUUUAUAUUCUAUGUUAUUUUCCUGACUCGAACCCUAUUGCGAGUCAUGAAUAUUAUGUAUAUGAUAAUUAGAUUCACAGUAUGUUUAAGGAUGACACUAUAGUCAUUUUGUGUUAGAAGUCACACAUUGACUAAAGAUGUGGCCAAACAAUUGCUUACAUAUGGUUGUGCAAACCUUAACUCUUGAGCUAGCUUUUGGGUUGAGUUAGGCCUCCUUCAUUUUGUUUGAUAGCACGAGUCAUAUUCGCACCCGACUAAGGUCGAGAGUGUCCGAAAAAGGCUAUAUCCGCUCCUAGAGCACUGUAUAAGCGAAAUUCAAAAUAUUCAUAAGAAUAUAAGAAUUUAUCUUUAUCCUUUCCAUGACAAGUGUUUCGACAUGAAACCCUGGACUGUACGAAUGAUUGAUUUCAAUUCUCGGAGGUUUGCCGAAACCGAGUUCUUGAUAACUCAAAAACCUUGAAACGAACUGUAGAUGAAGACUUUUUCUAUUCGGAGCUUCAAAAGAAGAUUCCACACACGUACACCCAUUUCUUUCGAUGUUUCCAAUCUUUCUUCAGAAGGAAGUUUUCUCAUCCGACAUCGACUGCAAAAAGUAACUUUUCGGGUUAAAUCGAUUAACACCGUUAGUGAAUCAUUUGCUUAAAUUCCAUGAAACCUGUUUCGAGUUCUGGAAUUCUGUCGUCGGAUUCUCUUAUAUAAUUCACAGAGGAAUGCGCAGGAAAAAUCGGAAUCACGAAAUAUUCAUUUUCCCGCGUUUUCCAUUUCCUAUAAAUAGAGAAAAAAAAACUCAAAAUCUCACCACCAACACCAUUAGAGGCCGCGAGCUCCAAGGAGGAAGGGGGAGAAGAGAAUUUUGUCGUUUCUUGCCCGAUCGUCGCACAGUCAGUUGCUAUACGUAUGACUCGAGGUACUGAUGUUAUUCCUUACCUCUGAUCGUAAAUUCUGUCGUUUUUCUCUAUGUCUUUCUGUGCUCAAAGUUUUGAGCUUUUUGUAAAAGUGUCCAAAUAACUUGAUUUCUCUGUCAAAACAUAUUCCCUACAUGCCCGAGAGCAUGAAUAUCCAGUUGCUUUUCGCUGAAUCUCGCCGAAUCGUCACAGAGCUUCAUUUUUCUGGAAAUACCCAUUUUCAUGUAAAAGCUUCGCUUUUUGGUUCGAAAACUCUCGACUGAGCUUUGCGCCAGUAGGAUUAGUUGUUAUAAAUGUCGUUAGGAUCAAGCUCAUCAAAUUUAUUUUUCAGAAUUUCAAUUUUGAAUUUCUGAGCUAAAAACACUGACCAAAAUACCCUUGUUCUUGUUUUCGACCCGAUAAUUUUUCUGAGAGUUUCCCUGGCCUAGAUAUCGCCUAAGAAUACCUUGGAAUUAAAUUAGAUCGAAGAAAAAGUUCGGGAAACCCUAUUUUUUGGAAGUGGCCGAAACUUGUAGGAAUUGGACCGUGUACAAAAAUAAUUUUUGGGUCUGUAUGGUCUGAGCUAUAGUGUAGCUCUUUCGAUUGUCAAAAUUUUGGCUUCGGUUUCGUGUCAUUCCGAGUUGUGUAGCUCGAGUUACGCACAUUUUAGCGAACAAAGGUCAUGUUGUCUAUUCGUGCCUAAAAGUCGAACUCCGAAGCUUCGAAAGCUUCUUUUCCGGUUUUGAUUAGUGUCAUUAGUUUAUAUUGUUUCUUAGUGACUAAGAGUCGAUAUUUUGCUUAAGGUUUGGAACGAGUUGAGCUGAGGAAAGAGUUUUUGGAGCCAGUCGUGAGGUUUCACGACGGAGGAGGACGCUCCAGAGGACUUGCUGAGUUCGGGAGCUUUAUUUGGAUUGAACUGCGAUGUUGAGCUAGGAUGGAGAAAUAAAAAGGUAAGGGUAACUCAGUUUUAGCGCGUCUUUGAGUCUUGCCUGCUUUUAUCGCACUGCAUGCGUUUGAGAUGAAGUUUUUUAAAUUUGAUUUUGAUUAUUGUGCUGAACUCAGAAAAUGUUUUCUGGAGGCUUCGGCCAAGUGAACUUAUUGAGACGUGUGUCUCCGUUUUCUGAGAGGCUUCGGUCGUUUACUGGUUUCUGUCAUUAUUGCUUUCUUGUGGAUGUUUUGAUUGUUGUCGUGCUUGAUGUUGGGAUGGAUCACAUACUAAGUAUGUGCUAAGUAGCUAUAUGUUGUGUUGAUAUUUGUGCAUAUGCGUUGUUGGGUUGUACUGUGUGGCCUUCGUGGCGUACUGUGUGGCCUUAGUGGCGUAUUGAGUGGCCUUCAUGGCAUAUUAAGUGACAGAUCAAUGGGUUUCGUACCAGGUGACCGUCCCGUCCUGCGAGACGCUUUUGAUUUGACAUGUCUUGGUAGUAACACCUAGUUGUACUACAGGGCACUUAUACUGGUUUGGUUGAUACCUGGUUCGAUGUUAUAUUGUUGAGGUUGUUGAUAUCUGACUCGAUGUUAUAUUGUUGAGGUUGUUGAUAUCUGAAUUGAUGUUAUAUUGUUGGGGUUAUUGUUAUCUUAUUUAAAUCCGUUAUUAUGUUGUCGAUAUCUGAUUAAAUCUAUGUUGUUGAUGUCUGAUUUGAUUUUAUGUUGUUGGAUAUAUGUCGUCAUCUAUCUGGAAUUAUGUUGCUAGCUUAUGUGCCAUGUUAUGCACUUAAACUUUAAUAGCAUGCCUUUCCCUUUUAUACGUGGUAAUUGCAUGGAGUUAACCCUUUCUAUUUGCUACUUGUUGUUUGGGCGCUUAACGCUAUUAGGCGAUGGUCAACCCUCGAUGAAGUUUGACCUUUGUACGAGUCAGAGAUGAGGACUUGAAGAUUUGUGAAAGACUUGAAGAGUAGAGUCGGGUUUAAGGCUAGAGCCUUAGGUUAGAGAGCUUACCGUUAUUGGUUUAAGCUUACCUAAUGAUUUUUAGGAAUUUAUAUUUGAGUUUCCGGGUAGGUUCCGAUGCUUUUCUUUCCUGGGGUUCCCUGAUGUGGAGAUCGUAGGGAGUAAGUCGGAUUUAUGCAUAAUAGGUUCUUUGUUGAGUUGUUUCUAUUGGUUAGGUUUUGUAGUUGAAAGUAUGCAUGACAUGUUUUAGAAACACUUUGAAGAAAAAAAAAAUUAUACUCAUAUUUAUAAAUCCUUUUGGAAAACAUUGCAUAUUUAUUUUAUCAGGUUGUUACCGUAACCCCUGAAAUUCGGGGCGUUACAUAACCUGUGUAUGAGUCGGAGAUGAGAACUUGAAGAACAGUGCACGAAGAGUAGAGUCAGGUGUAAGGCUAGAGCCUUGGGAUAGAGAGCUUACCAUUAUUGGUUAAAGCUUGUAUAAUGAUUUCUUGAAUUUAUAUUUGAGGUUUUGGGUAGGUUCCGGUACAUUGCUUUCCUGGAGCUCCCCGAUGUGGAAACCUGUGUAUGAGUCGGAGAUGAGAACUUGAAGAACAGUGCACGAAGAGUAGAGUCAGGUGUAAGGCUAGAGCCUUGGGAUAGAGAGCUUACCAUUAUUGAUUAAAGCUUGCAUAAUGAUUUCUAGAAUUUAUAUUUGAGGUUUUGGGUAGGUUCCGGUACAUUGCUUUCCUGGAGCUCCCCGAUGUGGAAACCUGUGUAUGAGUCGGAGAUGAGAACUUGAAGAACAGUGCACGAAGAGUAGAGUCAGGUGUAAGGCUAGAGCCUUGGGAUAGAGAGCUUACCAUUAUUGGUUAAAGCUUGCAUAAUGAUUUCUUGAAUUUAUAUUUGAGGUUUUGGGUAGGUUCCGGUACAUUGCUUUCCUGGAGCUCCCCGAUGUGGAAAUCGUAGGGAGUAUAUCGGAUUUAUAGUGUCAUUGUAUAAUAGCUUCUUUGUUGAAUAUGACUCUAAUUUUUAGGUUUUGCAUGUUGUAUUCUUUCGUCCCUACCUUUGGGUACUAGCCUUGUUCAAGGCUGGACGUGAAUCUAUCUGUAGUUGGUAGUAUGCAUUUCAUGUUUUAGAAAUACUUUGAAAAGAAAAAAAUAUAUACUCGCUUUUAUGAAUUCAAUUUGGAAAUCAUUGCAUAUUUACUUUAGCAGGUUACUAACUGUGACCCAUGAAAGUCGGGGCGUUACAAUAACCAACUACUAUUCUAGAGUUGAUAUUUCCUUCUCAAUCUCCUAGAAACUAGUUCUACCCAGUUCAUAUGCUUGUUGCUUCAUAUACUAGAUCGACAACCGAGACAUAUGGAUAGAGCCUGUAGAAUCUUCAUGGAAGUUUCAUUUCAUAUCUGCCAGGUUUUCAACUAUGUUGGGAGGGAGAGUGAGUACUAAAUGAAAUUUUCCCUAUUAGAGAUAAUGAGAACAUAUGCAGUUUAUAGAACUUGUUUUUUGUUCGUCUCCCCACAUUUAGCCGAAUUGGCCCCAUUGUAGACUUCUCGUAUUUGUCUAAGAAGGUUGAAAAGGCACAUACCUUAUAUCCCCUCGACUAGAGUGUUCAUUAAUAAGGAUCGACUCAAUGAACCAAAUAUCCAAACCAAACUAAUGAAAUCUGUUCAGAUUUAGUUGGUUAAUUGAUUCACUUUAAAUUAAACCAGAACCUUACCAAUUGUAAUUGGUUCGGUUCUCAGUUUUUUUAACCUGAACCAAUUCUGGUGAGAUAUUUAUGUGAGUACAUAUUUAGAAACCUUUCUGCGGUUGAUUCUAAAGGUAAAAUCAAUUUUGAGGAGAAGCAUUUGUACGUAGCUUCUUCUGGGUUUCAAAAUUGACUCUGAUGAAAGAGAAACUUGUACAAACAUGCUUUAAGUAUCUCUUGAGCUUCAGAAUUGAUUGUGAUGAAAGAGAAGAAUUGAUUCAAAGUCUCACACUCUUACUUUAUGGGCAUGUUAAAGUUCAGCUCUCUAUGACAAGGGCUUGAAAGCAACUUGUAUAUCUACUGAAAGAACAGAAGCAAUGCGUGGCCUGAAGGUUAGUGACAUCCUCAAUUCCUCAUAAACCAAUGGCAAAAGAAACAUAGCCACUGGGGGUGCCACCAGAAUCAAAUCAUUGUUUUCAAAGCCCAAAUCCAAUAACAACAAGAAAAAAUCAACCUCAGCAAUUGCAAACCUUGUUGUUCCUCUUCAACUCCCGUCUGCUGACACCCUUGAACCCUCCAUAGAACCUUACCUUAAACCCACCAAUCUCGCAGAGUCCUUGGUAGGAUUGUAUCACAGGCUUGAAAGCAUUGCUCUAUGUGGAGCAGUACUCGCUUCUCCGCAGCCUCGGGGACCAGAAGCUUCUCCGGACAGCGCGCCGGAAUGCAGAUGACGUGUUCUCCAAGAAGGGAGGGAGGACGAGCUUAUGGACGUCUCUUCAACGGAACACAUUAAUACUAAAAAAUACAAGUAGGAUUAACAAAAGCCACGUGGCGAAGGUGAUUGUGCCUAAUUGAUAACACAUUAGUACUAAAUUUGCUUUUUUUGAUUUAAAAAAUAUCAAGGCAUCAAUUUCAUAGUAUUUAUUUUUUAGGGACCUAAUUUAACUCUUCUUUAUAUGUGAGGGACUAAAAAUAUAUUUAACCCUAAAAUUAAUUAUACAUUGAAAAAAAAAGAUUUGAAAAUAAGUUCAUUUAACCUAAUAUUAUGGGGAACAAAGUUUUUAAUGCUUGAAACUGCAUGGAGAUUGAUUGUUUGCAAUUGUUGGAUGCUUGGAACCGCUCUCGUAUGAGUUCAUCUUAUUUUUAUUCUGUGUUCGAAAAAUUGUAAGGACCUUUGUUCUCGUUUUACUAGGUUUUCGUUGUCUUUUGUGUCAUGGCGGCAAUCAAGUUGCAGAUUACAGGUCUUUCUCAUAUGCUUGACUAUGAUGUAUUUGCCUCUGACCCCUUUUAGUUUUCUUUAAUAUUGUUGGAGAUAUAAAAAAAAUCAUAAUUAAUCUGAAAUGUUUAUCUAUAAAAUACUAAAAGAAUUCAUCAAAAUUAGUAGGAGGAAAAUUGGAAAACUGUAUUUGACCAUAAUCUUACAUCCAAUUUCUAGAAAGCUAUCAAAAUAAAAAGAGUUUUUAUAAAUUUUCCGCAGCCGGGAUUUGAACCCGGAAAUUCGCAACUGAAUUUUCCAAGGUGUGCUACUACGGAUUUGUUGUCAAUAAGUGCAAAAAUAUUAAAUAUAUAGAGUAUAUAAACUCACGCAAUUUAUAAGUUAUAACAAUAACUAGGUUCUAUAUCUAUUUUUUUACAAAAAGCCAAGCUUUUGCAUUUUCUCAUCUCCUAUAGUUGCACAAUAUGAUUGUAUCUUUACGUCCCAAACUCUCUUUAAUUAGGUUUAAUUAUAAUUUUAGUUCAUUGAUCAUUUUUCUUUUUGGUAAUAUAUGUUUUAAAAGUGAGAGGCACUGACGGCAGAAAUUUGAGACUAGAGGGUCUAGAUUAAAAAGGGGGAUCAAGAUUAAAAAAUAUGACUUGCCUAUAAUGAUUUCUAGCGGUCACUUACAUAUAUAUAUAUAUAUAUAUAUAUAUAUAUAUAUAUAUAUAUAUAUAUAUAUAUAUAUAUAUAUAUAUCACAAGUAAAGAAAGAAUUGAAAAAUUUGCGAUCACGGCAUAAAAUUGAAUUUUUUUUUUAUAAAAUAUUAAAAAGGUAAGAAUAUAUUAAAAUUUUAAAAAUUUGAUAAUAUAAAGUUUCAUAUAAGAAAUAAUAUAAACUUUAGUAUAAAUAAGAUUUGCCGUCUAUAAUUAUGUCAUUCCUUCCUAAGAAAAACACUUACAGAUGAGUUGAAAAAUAAGUCAUACUUCAUAUAUUCUUUUUUUUUUGCUACAUACUUCAUAUAUUCUUUUAAAUUGUCUCAUUAAAUUUUUGACCAAUUUUUGACCAUUCAUAAUUAAAUAUGACGCGAUGGUUUAUAUAUACACUAUUCUCACAUUCCCAUCUAUAUAUAUAUGUAAAGCACACUUGAGUUUUUGCAUUAAAUACAUAAGCAAAACUCAAGUGUGUAUUAAAAGCAACCAAAAAAAUACAAAACUUUGUAAUAAAUAUAUUAAACAAUAAUAAAACUAAAAUUAAAAUAAUAUAUAUUGUGAAAAACUAUUCAACUACUACCAUUAAAUAAAAACAUUCAUAAACUUAAAAUUUCCUUGAAUUUUGUAUUUUACAAAUAUUAAAAAUUAAAUUAAAUAAGAAAAUAAUAUUUAUUAGCAAAUAAUUUACAUAAAAUAAUUUUAAAAUUCAAAAAAUUCUAUCUAUAUAUAUAUGUAAAGGAGACUUGAGUUUUUUCCAUUAAAUACAUCAUACAAUUCCUACCUCUACAUUAAAAUACAUUAAAAAUAAAGAAUUUCAUUUGCAAUAAAUAUAUUAAAUAAUAAAAUUAAAACUGAAUAAAUUGUAAUGUCAACAACUAUUCAACUACCAACAUUAAAUAAUAUAUUUAUAAAGUUAUUUAUCUUCAUUUUUAUAAUUAUUUAUAUAUUAAUUAUAAAAUUUCCUAUAUAUUUAAGUAAAAGCUAAAUAUAAUAUGAUAAAAAAUUUAAACAUAUGUAGUUAAAAUAUUAAUUAUUGACCUCAACUUGAGAAAAAAAUUAAAUUUAUAUAAAAUAAAUAUAUGAAAUAUCAGAAAUAGUCAAUGAUUAAAUACUCUUCGUACAUAUAUACUUAUAAUUUUUUUUAAUAGUUACAUGUGUUGUUUAAUAUAGAUUAUUAUAAUGUUGUUUUGUGUUAUUUUAUAAAAUAAUUUUACAAACAUAAAAAAUUAAUAUAUUAUAAUUAUUUAAGUCUUUUAGAAUAUCUUUUUAUAUACAUUAAAAAGUGUAUAGAGUAUACACAAGAUGAUAUUUAGAAUAAAAUUUUAUUAAACAAUAUUUUUAUAUGGAAACAUUAUUUAUAAUUAAAAUUAAUUAAUUUUAUUAAUAAAAAAUUACUAGCAAAUAGUUUUAAAAUUAAAAAAUGCCGCAAUAAUUUAUAAAAAUAUUUUUAAAAUUAACAUUAUUAAGUAUGACGUGGAUGUCAAAAAAGUAUGACGUGUGUGUAUUAUUUUCAGAAAUUUAUUCAAUUAUAAAUUUUAAUCUAUUAUAUAUUAGUAAAAAAGAUCAACUUAAAGAAGUAUAACAGAGAAAAAUAAUUAAGGAUAAAAUUAAAAAUUAAUUAUUUUACUAAAUAAUAUUUUAAAAUAUUAAAAUUAUAAUUUAUUGUAAUUAUUAAAGUUAAAGUUAAUUAAUUGUUGAUAAAAAGUAUAAGAAAAUGUUGAUAUAAUUUAUUUGGUGAGAUUAAAACUUAUUAAUUGAAAAUAUUUGAAAUGCACUUUAUAAUUUAUUUUAUUUUUAAAUUUUUAAAAUUAUUAUAAUGUUAAUUAUUAAAUUUGAAUAGUAUUAAUUAUUUAAAGAAAACUCUAAUACUCAUAAUGAAAUGUUUUAACACAAUUAUUUUUAUUUUAUUAUAAUUUAUAAGUAAAAAUGUUUAUUUUUUUUAAACUAUAAUAAAUUUUAUAUUAUGUUGAUAAAAUUGUAAAAACACCCGUGCAACGCACGGGUUUUAUAUCUAGUUCUCAUGUAUGUUUCACUUAUUUCUUUCUUUCUUUCUUCUUCAGUUCCAAUUUAUAAUCUCUUUUUGUAAAAACAAAAAUGGUCAUUUAUGAUUUGGACAUCCAACCUAUAUGCACAAACUCAUGUGAUGGUGAAUGGUGAUCUCCAAUUGAAGAAAAGUUAUCAAUUGCUUUUGUUGGAGAAAAUAAUUUAAAGAAGUGAAUCGCUUUGGAAUGUUAUGACCUGUUUGUUUGAUUGGUGCAGAUAAUGAGACUGCUUAACCUACUCAUAAUUGGAUUGGUUACACAACUUACUCCACCUCAUGCACCUUUGCUUGACAUGAAUUUCGUCUUAAAACCCAAAAUUUGCGGUCUAAUAAAUCCAAACAAUUUAAGGUGAACAUGGUUAGCUAAUGACAAAGAAGAAUCUGAUCAUGGAACAAGUUGACCAAAACCAAACCACAUUCAUUGGAGUUGUUCUUUGGAAGAGCGUCACUUUUUCUGUUUCUGUGAAAGCACAAAUGGAGUUGUUAGUGGCACUGGUUUUGGUCAACUUUUUGGAUUUGGCUCCAAACAAACACACACAUAAACCUCUCAUUCUGUGGUGAGUCUCAAUCUUCUAUCCAAUUUCCUCUAAUACAAGUGAUAUAAAGCCUCAAUUUAACACCUUAUAAGCAAAAUACAAAAAGACACUAAGUUCAGUUUAAUUAGUCUGUUGUCUUGCAUCUCCCACAAUCUUUCUUUCUCUUCCUUGCAAAGUGCACACAACUAUGUAAAACAUUGCUACCACAAAAGACAACUUUUUUUUUGCUAUAAGCUCCAUUGUACUCUUUCUCUCCUUGUUUGGAAACUUUUCUAUAAUAGUUUCUUAAACCAGGAUCAACUCUGGUGAAAAGUUUCUGUAACAUGUUUAGAAACCCUUCUGCAAUUGAUUCUGAAGGCAGAACCAAUUAAUUCUGGAUAGCUUCGAGUUUCAGAAUUGAUUCUGUUGAAAGAGAAGCUGAUUCAAACAUGCUAUAAUUAGUUUUUGAGCUUCAGAAUUGAUUCGGCUUACUUUAUAGGGAUGCUAAAUUUCAGCUCUUUAGCACAAAGGCUUGAAAAGUGAAAACAACAUGUAUAUCCAUUGAAAGAACAGAAGCAAUGCGUGGCCUGAAGGUCAGUGACAUCCUCAAUUCCUCAGAAACCAAUGGCAGAAAAAACAAAGCUACUGGGGGUGCCACCAGAAUCAAAACAUUGUUUUCAAAGCCCAAAUCCAAUAACAACAAGGAAAACUCAACCUCAGCAGUUGCAAACCUUGUUGUUCCUCUUCAACUACCUUCUGCUGACACCCUUGAGCCUUCCAUUGAAGCUUACCUUAAACCCCCCAACCUCGUAGAGGCCUUGGCAGAACUGUAUCGCAGGCUUGAGUGCUGCCCGCAAUCCCAGAAAGCAUUGCUCUUUGUGGAGCAGUACUCGCUUCUCCGCAGCCUCGGAGACCAGAAGCUUCUCCGGACUUGUCUCAGAACAGCGCGCCGGAAUGCGGAUGACGUGUUCUCCAAGGUUGUGCUGUCAGCAUGGCUGAGGUUCGAGAGGAGGGAGGACGAGCUUGUGGGCGUCUCUUCAAUGGACUGUGCUGGUGGCAGCAUUCUUGAAUGUCCAAAGUUGAAUUUGGUUCAUGGAUUUAGUCCCAGUUCAGUUAAUGAUAAGUGUCAGUGUUCACAAGAGACUAAACAGGAAACUAGCAAUGAAAGUGUGUGUUUACUAAAUGAGGAAAAGGAUGUUUCUUUUUGCAUUGGAAAUGUGGAAAUCAAAUGUGUUAGGUGGAGAAUUGCAUCACUAUCAGACCCUUUUAAGGCUAUGCUCUAUGGUGGUUUUGCAGAGUCCAAAAUGAGGAAGAUUGAUUUCACCCAAAAUGGGAUAUGCCCAAAGGGUAUGAGAGCAGUGGAAUUAUACAGCAGGGUAAAAAGAUUGGAACUUUUCUGCCCCAUGACUGUUUUGGAGCUUCUUUCAUUUGCCAAUAGGUUCUGUUGUGAGGAGAUGAAGUCUGCUUGUGAGGCCCAUUUGGCUUCAACUGUAGUGAAUGUGGAUGAUGCAUUGGCACUUGUUGAGUAUGGAUUGGAAGAGAAAGCACCUCUUCUUGUAGCUUCAUGCUUACAAGUGCUUCUCAGGGAGCUGCCAAAUUCUUUGUAUAACUCAAAAGUGAUAAAAAUCUUCUGUAGUCCCGAGGGAAAGAAAAGGUUAGAAACUAUGGGGUAUGAUUCUUUCUUACUCUACUAUUUCCUGAGCCAGGUUUCUAUGGAGGAAAACAUGGUAUCUAAGACUACAAUGAUGUUACUAGAAAGACUUGGGGAGUGUGCAGCUGAAAAUUGGCAGAAAGCACUUGCAUUCCAUCAAUUGGGGUGUGUGAAUCUUGAAAGGAAAGAAUACCAAGAUGCUAGACAUUAUUUUGAAGUUGCAGCUGAAGCAGGUCAUGUGUAUUCUUUGGCUGGUAUAGCCAGAACAAAGUAUAAACAAAAUCAACCAUGUUCAGCCUAUAAGUUAAUCAGUUCUCUCAUAUUUGAGCAUAAACCUGCUGGGUGGAUGUACCAGGAGCGUGCUCUUUACAAUACCGGAUGGGAAAAAAGUUUCGAUUUAGACGUUGCAACUGAACUAGACCCUUCCCUUUCAUUUCCUUAUAAAUAUAGAGCAUUGGCAAAGGUGGAAGAGAAGCAGAUAAAGGCUGGAAUCUUAGAGCUUGAUAAGAUUAUUGGAUUUAAGCUCUCUCCGGAUUGCCUAGAAUUGCGAGCUUGGUUGUUUCUUUCACUUGAGGAAUAUGAGAGUGCCUUGAGAGAUGUUCGCGCAUUGUUAACUUUGGAACCAAGUUAUGUAACUUCACAUGGGAAGAUCACAGGGAAAUACUUGGUUUAUCUACUUAGUCAUGUGGUAAGGCAGAAGAGCCAGGCUGAAUGCUGGAUGCAAUUAUAUGAAGAAUGGUCUUCUGUAGAUGAUGUUGGUUCCUUGGCUAUUAUACAUCAGAUGUUAGAGAAUGAGCCUGCAAAGAGCCUGCUAGAGUUUCGUCAGUCUCUACUCCUUUUAAGGUAAGCAUCUAUAAAUCCAACCUAUCGGUAGUAACUAGUUUAGAACCCGUUUGGAUGCAUACCAAAGGGCACUUAUUGGAGCAGUACUUUUUUUAGUAGAUAAACUUCAAUAAAUGCUCUUUAGUCCUUAUCCAAACAGGCUCUGAGUAUCUCUUCUCUUCAACUUUCAAUUUUUAUGGUGUUUAUUGCACAUUAAAAGGUUAUGGUUGGUAUUAUAAUAUUUUAUUUGUGGAGAGUGUAAGCGCUUCCUGAUCUAUCUGCACUAGGGUUUUAAAUUGCGGCUGCGGUCGCAGUUACCGCUGCAUUGAAGAAUUGCAUACGAAUUUCGGUCAAAACAACUGCAAUUGCGGUCGCAAUGCCAUUGUGGGGUGGCCACAAUUGUGGUUACUGACCGCAAUUUAAAACCCUGUACAAUUCAAUCCAGUUAAGAAAAUAUGAUAUCAAGAGAAUUCCUUACCGUUAUGAAUUUCAUAGGUUAAACUGUCAAAAGGCUGCAAUGCGCAGUUUGAGGAUGGCAAGAAACCAUUCCAGCUCAAUGCAAGAAAGGUUAAUAUAUGAAGGGUGGAUUCUAUAUGAUACUGGAUACCGGGAUGAAGCUCUAUCCAGAGCUGAUAAGUCCAUUGCAAUUCAGAGAUCAUUUGAAGCUUUGUUUCUAAAAGCAUAUAUGUUGGCAGAUACAAGUUUGAAUCCUGAAUCUUCUUCUUAUGUAAUCCAACUUCUGGAAACAGCACUUAAAUGUCCUUCAGAUGGUCUUCGCAAAGGACAAGUGAGUUAUUUCUACUGCUACUAUCCCCCUUACUGAUCAAGUUUGUUUUCUGCAGUAAUUUGAUUGUGUGCUGCAAAAUUUUGCAGGCACUGAAUAACAUGGGGAGCAUUUAUGUGGAUUGUGGAAAGCUUGAUCUAGCAAAAGCAUGCUACAAGAAUGCCCUGGAAAUUAGGCACACAAGAGCUCAUCAAGGUCUAGCGCGCGUUUAUCAUCAGAAAAAUCAACGAAAAGCCGCGUAUGAUGAGAUGACGAAGCUAAUUGAGAAGGCUGAGAGCAAUGCCUCAGCGUAUGAGAAACGAUCUGAAUACUGUGACCGCGAGAUGGCGAAGGCUGAUCUUGAUUUAGCAACACAACUUGAUCCUUUAAGGACAUAUCCAUAUAGAUUCAGGGCAGCAGGUACUUCACUUAUAUUUCAUUCUUUACCAUUUUUCCAUUAGGUGAAAACAUUACUUGUUAAAUCAGGGAUUUUACUUACAUAAAAUGGUCAUACAUAACCAGUGCUGAUGGAUGAGCAAAAAGAAACUGAAGCUGUGGAAGAGAUCACCAAGGCCAUAAACUUCAAGCUUGACAUGAAAAUACUUCAUCUACGAGCAGCGUUUUACGAGUCAAUGGGGGACAUAUCCUCUUCUCUUCAAGACUGUCAGGCAGCUCUAUGCUUAGAUCCUAACCAUACAGAAACACUUGAUUUGUAUCAAAGGGCACAAAAACUGAGCUUUUAAUCAUAUACCAAUGUGCAUAAGAAGGCUGAAUGUGUGUUUGGAUACCAAUCGAGUGCAACGUGAACGGACUUUCAUCUCAAUCCAAUAGGAAGAGUUUCAUUCACUUUUUACCUCGAAGUGAGUGCUAACAUCUGAUUGCACUGGUGGCAACAUAUAUCCAAACAUAGUCAUGUAGAGAUAUCGGUUAGGAAAUUGUUGGGGCAUCCCAAAUUUUUUAAGUUCCAAUGGGAGGACAUGGAUUUUGCAGCUAUUGAAACAAAGCCAAAAUCCAAGAAGUAGUACUUGGAUGAUUGGAGAAAAGGGAUAAAAAGAAAUAUGUGCUUCAAUUGAUCAAAUAGGAGAACAAUUAAGGUGUACAUCAGAUUUUCAAAGUACCUACACUGAUAUGAUACAGAUUCUUGUGAGCCAUGUGCACAUAAUUUGUCUCACACUAUUUGCAAGUCUCUUGUACAGUUACAGAGUUGUAAUUUAUAGAGAGAAAACUCACUUUUUGUUUCCUGCAAUGUAUGAUUUAUUAUUCUUCUUGAUAAGAAGUUUUAUCUUUUCUGCAUCUUUGGUCCAUUCCAUAAAGAUUCGACAAAGUUGUAAGUUGGUUCUCAACAGCUCAACACAACUCCAAUCUUUCCUCCUUAUUUAAGCAUUUUGCCAAAGAGAAAACAAAUAACAAAUACUCAUAAGGAGCAUUUUCCAUGCCUAGCAUUAUAGAAAAAGGAAACACUCAUAGAUAUGGAUGUUAGUAAAUUUCACUAAGUCUGCUUGAGGAGUUUAUACAUUUGGAACAUCCUCAAAAACCAUUAUUCUUGUUAAUGGCUUCUCAACAGUAUCCAGUAAGAUUCACAAAAUUCUUGUUGUUGACUCUGAGAAAUGUUCAUAUCUGGAAACCUGAAAAGCUAAGUAUUAGAACCAAGAUGAAAAAGGAGGAGCAUUUGCUACACUUGUCGCCAUCAAACCUUCUUUCAGAAUUGAGUUUCCAUACGUUUUUUUUUACCAGUUUUCAGAUUUGGUCACUGCAGAAGAAACCACCGCUAUCUCGGUUCCAACAGAAAAAAGGGCAAGGGCAGCCCGGUGCACAAAACUCCUACGUACGAAUGGUCCAAGAACAAGAAGGGGUCCCCUUCUCUCAUAAAUGAGAAUGUGAAUGUUGAUAGAUGAGUUUGUCACACUAGAAAUGAAAGAAUGCGCAGUGAUCAUAUAAGAAAAUGAAAAUAUAUUAGGAUGACAAUUAUACAAGUUUACGAUUAACCAAGUGGGUUGGUGUAGUGGUUCGGCACUUCAUCCUUUAAGCAAGUGGUCGGGGGUUCGAAUCUCAACUCUUGCGAAUAGAAAAAACUCCUUGGACUCCUUGGUCAGCCCCCUACCGCUUAGUGCGCUGACCGUGGGGCGAGAGAUUAGUCUCACGGCUGACGAUUAAGAUGGUACAUACAUAAGGUAUGAAGAAGACAUUUUGAGACACUAGUGCGGAUGGUUAUGAAUCAUGUGAAGAAUAGUACAGGAAGGCCAAAAAAGACAUCAGAAAAUAUUAUUAAAAACGGCAUCAUUAUCUAUUAAAAUUGGUUUUUGAUCUAGCGUAAUGAACUAAUGAUGUAGUAUGGUCUAAUAAUCGACCUCAUUCAUUUAGUGACUUAAGGACUUCUAUUGUUACUGUAUCUCUUUGUGACUUGUUGCUUUUUUACCAGCUAUAAAUUAUUUAUUGUUGUUUAGUUUAGAGGAACUCCUAUUAUGUGUGCUCAUCCCUUUUCAACAUCUUUUUUUACAACCCAUGAAUCAAUGUUUCUUUAAGCAACCAACAACAAGCUAACGCUGCGCGAACAUGUCAAUUAGACUUAGAUAGCCAAUUCUUUCUUUCCUGAUAAUGUAAGAAAUCUGUCACUCUCAAUACAUACCACGUUAGGUACUAAGCCUUGUAUAUAAUAUACUUUAUCUUCUAAUGACCAUAAAGAAAAAAGAUGAUUGAUCUUCUUGGUGGGAAAACCACUUUUUCUUCAUUGGAAAUUUUCACAGAUGAUGAUGAUGGUAAGUGAAUAAGGAUGAUAUGUAUUGUCCUUUUCACUCUUCAACCAAAUGGAAAAGGACAAAACUUCACAUUUCAAAGAGAAAGGAGGGAACAUGAUUUCUUUAGCAGUUGGACCAUUCCCUUCCAUUAUUACCCUAAUGGAUAGUUACAAAGUAGGACAUCCAUGCAGAAAAGCAUCGCAGAUCAAGUUAUGUGUUCAUAAUCCUUUGUCAAUAACUGAUAAUUUCAUAAUGGACAGGACAAGGGUUGUUUCAGAAAGAAAUGGGGUAUAUUCGAGUCAUAAUCAGUAGUUGGAAGCAUGUCGUCAAUCAAGCAUUUUAGGUGCAUGUUUAACAAACAAAAGUAGAAUCAUCUCUCAUUUUAAACUGCACAAGUUCUAAGCUACUAAUAGUAGCUUUUUUGGAGGCUACACAAUUCUACUGCAAAGCAUGGAAAUUCUUUUACAAUUGACUCUAAAGUCAAAAUCUAAUCCAGAAAAAAGAUUUUGCGAGUAGCUUCUAGGAGCCAGAAUUGAUUCCGGGUAGCUCAAGCAAACAACAGACUAUAAGUAGGCGAUUCAAGAAGUUAAAAAUUGAAAAGCAGGGACCCUUCAACAGAAGAAAUAUUACAGGCUUGAAAGAAACAAAUAGAGUUUUCAAUGAUUCACAGUGAAAGGUUUCAAUCUAACAAUUACAUAGCAAAAACAAACUGCUUCAAAGUGAAAGCAUCCCAACCAUCUCAAAAUCAUAAUGACUGGUAUGGAUGCUGGAUCAAGGUGGGGGGAAAAGACAAGCAGAUGGAGAAUGAUAGUAGCUCUGUUUCUUUCUAACAUUUUCUUUAAAAAUCAUAAAUCUGUUUUUUUUUUUUGGAUUUUUCAACAAUCACUUAUUGGAGGGGGGAGGAGGUAAAAUGAUCAUUCCAAAUAAUAGUUUCCUCACAUAAGUUAAAAUCAAUUACUAUAUUUCAACUUUUUCAGAAUCUUCCUUUUCCAACUUCUGUAUGAACUGUUAUCAACUGGUACAGGCUUUUUCAUAAACUAAGCAAAAACUUAUCUGGAUAAAUAAUUAACAUAAACUAGAAGCUAAUACAAACUGGGCCCUAGUCAAAGCAAGAUUGCCUAGUUUGUUAACAAUGGCACAGCUCUUUGAAGUUUCGACUUUUGUUCCAUUCAGACAUUUGAUUAGAGGUAUGGCAUUCUAACACCACUUUAUACAAACAGCUCAUGUUAAUUCAGCAGACAGUCAUAACAAAAGGAAAAGUAACACUCAUACACCAUUUUACACCAGAAUUACCCUUCCAAACUCCUCCACAAGACACCAAUCAUGUAGGGGAAAGGGGGUCCUAUGCCCAAAAACAACUAGUAUGUAGAAAAAGUAAGCAACCAAGUGCCCCACCUAAACAUCCACUUCUAGAUUUUCUGCACCUCAAAAAUCAUAUCUCAUUUUAGUAACACCAUCUGCUUUGGAAUCAUUAACCAAAAUUAUGACAAUGGAGAAAUAACAUGUACAAAUAUACAACAAUAACAACAACUUUAUCCUACUAAAUGGGAUCGACUACGACGCUAUUGCGCUCGAUCGAAUAGCAUGUACAAAUAGAAUUAAGAAAAAAAGAUAGGGAGCAUAGAUAUAACUCAAAAACAUGUUCAAAAAAUUAAAAUAUACACAACCCUUUCAUAUGAAAAAUAAAUUGCAAAUGUGAUAGAGCAAAAGGCAAAACAAGUUAGCUAACAUAUGGUCAUGAAAAUAUUAACCAUUCCAGAAGGAGAUAGAGAUGCUCACAUAACAAUGUAUCAAUCAACAAUCCCCCACCUGAUCAUGGGCCUAUACAUGUUCUUACUCGCCCACAAAAAAACUACAAAACUGAUCCUAAUCAAUGAAAAAAGAGAUUAUAUUUUUUUCAAUUUUUCAUUCCAUUGCUAAAUUCAUAAUAAAAUUGGAUCAUCAAAACAAGAAGGGCACCUAACAAGACCAUUCUCAUUGCAAGCAAUGCAGACUCUGAAUCCAGCUUUCUCAGUAAACACCUUCCUGCUACCAUAACACUCAUCACACAGAACAAACCGGUGACCGCCGCAAACGUCACACUCCGCCGGAUCCACCUCCGGCAGCGCUUUAAGAAUCUUCUUCAGCUCCCCCACCUCGUUCAUCUGCCUCACCUCCUCAGCACCACCAACAUACCUCCCUCCAAUGAACACACGCGGCAGCGUCAACCUGCUCCGACCCAUCACCCGAAUCAGCUCCGCCGUGAAAGCUGAGUCCAUCGACACGUCCCGCUCGUCGAUUCGGACGCGGAAGCCGCGGAGAAUGGCCAACACGCUCUUGCAGCCCUCGAAUGUCGGCCUCACCACGCGCAGGCUCGUGAAGUACACCACCACACGAUUCUCUGUACCCGGAAGGUAAAUCUCCGGCGCCGGAGAGGGAGAAGGUGGAAGGUCAGGUAACGAGUCAUCUGGGUAGGAGAGGGUUCUGGGUAGCUUCGGUUGUUGUUGUUGUUGUUGUUGGUGGUGGUGGUUCUGGUUUUGGGAGUGAGUUGACCAGGUGCGGAGGAGCGAGUUGGCGAGUCGGACUCGGUGGAAAACGGUGGAUUUUCUGAUGGGGGAGGGUUGUGGCGGUGGUUCGUCGAGGCAAAGGGUUUGAAUGUCUUUGAAGGAGGAACAGGAGAAGGAAGGUGAAGAAGAUGCACUGUGAAUUCGAGUGGUUGAUUUGGAUUUGCCCCACGGUCGCCACAUUGAAGGUGGGAAAAACGAAAAUAGUAGUAUCUUCUCUUUUCUCUGCAAUUCUCUUCUUGUUCAAUUCUCUUCUGCAAUUGGAAUUGAGAAAUGGGUAUGAGGAAAGAUUGGAUUUUUCUUAGGGUAAUGUGGAUGUUUUAUGAAAAUGGGGGGAAUUGAGAAAUGGGUAUGAUGAGGAAAGAAUGGAUUUUUCUUAGGGUGAUGAGGAUUUUUGAUGAAAAUUGGGGAGAUUGAGAAAUGGGUUUGAUGAGGGAAGAAUGGGAUUUUGGUUAGGGCAAUGAGGAUUUUUGAUGAAAAUGGGGGAGAUUGAGAAAUGGGUAUGAGGAGGAAAGAAUGGAUUUUUGUUAGGGGGAUGAGGAUUUUUGAUGAAAAUGGGGGAGAUUGAGAAAUGGGUAAUAGGAAAGAAUGGAUUUUUUUGUUUUUGUUUGAGGGAGAAAAUUUGGGGGAAAUUGAGAUUUGUUUCUAUUUUUGUUGUUGGUGAUAGAUUGAUGGAUGGAAGGGAAGAGAGAGGGUUGGGAAUUUGAUUGCUUAAAGUUUAGGUUUUGGUUGAUGGUGGUGAAUUUGCAUGUGUGCAAAGUUCGGGAGGUCCUCAGCUUUUAUUUUUUUUGUUUCUCUUUUAAGCUUUUAGCAGAGAAAAGGAGAGAGAUGGGGAAAUGAGGGGGAAGGAAGGAAGCAAGGGAGUGAGAUUUGAGAGGGAAUUGAAAAGGCAAUUGGGAAAUUGGGAGGGGGGGAGAUUGUGAUAGGGUAGAAAAAGGUAGAGUGAAGGGUAGCUUGGUGGUUGAGGGGUUGCCUUGUUUUGUUUUGUUCUUGCUUUGAUUGGGGUUUAAUGAAGAGCCAGGGUGGAUUAGAGACCCUUAAUACAAGUUUGUACAGCUAUUUAUGGAUGAGAUUGAGACUUGAGAGCACACUGAUUUUUCUCUUAAAAAUAACCCAUUUUGGGUAAUGAAUGAUUCAAUUAUUGAUAUGAUUGUGGAAAUUUAUCCAAGAAAAAUUUCGUGUGAUAUUUAUACAAAUUUAUAAACAUACUAUAAUAUUAUCAUAUUUUUAAAAUGAGCUUUGUAAAAAAUAUAUUUUAAGAUGAGCUUUAUUAUUUAAUCUCUCUAAUUAAAUACUCCUAACUCAAUGACUUUGUUUAAUGAAGGAUUUGCAAACAAAUCUUGGAUAGGCACAAAUUCAACCCAUUAUUUUUUAGCACAACCAAUUAAAAUUAAAUUGACACAACUGUAACAUAAAAAAUUUAAAAACCAACAUGACAAAGUUGGAAAAAUAAAUAAUUUAAAUGCACGUUUGGUUCCUUGAAUGGUUUAGACCUCAUUACUUAUUUUUAAAUUUGGGGUUCAAUACUUAUUUUUGCAAAAAAUUGAAUAUUUUAAAAUUCGCACUUACAUGUAAUUUUAUAAAAAAGUAACAAACCAAGAAUUAAAGACCGUCAAAAUUACUACUCCUAUCUCACUAUACUAGCUACUCCUAGAUCCUAGCAUCUUAUUUCAAGUAUUAUUUCCUCCAACGUGAAACUUUACCUAAUUAUUAAACACGCAUAUUAUUAUUCCUUCCGUCCCUAAUUAUAAGUUAAAGUUGUAAAAAUCACACUUAUUAAGAAAGUCUUAAUUGAUGCAUUGGUUUAUAAAAAAAGGUACAACUUUUCAUGUCUACCCCUAUUUAAAAUAACACUUUUUAAUCAUUAUACUACUAAUAGUGCUCCACUACCAAUAAAUGCAAGGAUACAUAUGGAAAUAAAUAUUAGCUUUUAUAACUUUAGAUUAUAUUUAGUGACAAAACAAAAGUUUCAUCUUUAGCUUAUACUCCCUCCGGUCUUAUUUAUAAGCAUGAAAGAGAAGAAAAAUCUUGGUCCUUUUUAUAAGAACCAAAUGAAAGUUUGAGCUAUAUUAAUUAUUUUUUUCCAAUAAUGCCCUUAUUAAUUCAAACUUGUAGAAUGUGUAUCAUUAAUUAUUCUCUCUCUUUCCCACUUUCCAACAUGAAUAACAAAGGGUAAUUUUGGAAGUUUAUUUUGAUUCAAAACAAAUUUAAUGCAUUUUAUCUAGUUUUACUACAUUUCUUAAACUAUGUGAAUUUUUUUUUUAUUGCUUAUAAAUAGGACCGGAGGGAGUAAUUAGGGACAGAGGGAGUCAGGGAGUAUAAUUUACUAUAUCUAAGGUUAUUGCCACUAAUUGAUGUACUUAUUGAAAUACGUGCUUCAUUUUUUAUUUGGUCAAAGUGCAUCAUCGUAUGAUCCUAUCUACACAACCAAAACCAAUCAAGACUGAACUCAUAAUUGGUGUCUGGAUCAUGAUUUCACCAACAUGGAGCACCCUCUCCUUUCCCUGCAACCUGAGGCAUCUUCUCCAAGCUGAUGUGGCAGGGGCCAUUUUAGCUUCAUGUGGUUACUAGUGCUCCUCGAGCAAGAAUGUGGUAACCCCCAAGAGAUGACGUUGCUAAAUUCAAUGUUGUUGGGGGCUCCAAAGGGCAAUUUGGGUGAGAUUAAAUUCAUCUUAUGUAAAAACUAUUUCACUUUCUCUUAUGUUCAAUUUUUUGUUUAUAUCUUCAUAUGAAUUAGAUAAAUGGCAAUAGAUGAAAUCUAUUGAAUAUUUAUGAUGUGACAUACACACAACUCGACAUUAUCAUGUGAUGUGAGAGAAUCUCAAUCCAAUAUGGGUGAGAUUGAAAUUAGUGGAGUAUUGAGAAAUGACGAAGGGAAAGUCUUGAGAUGUUUAUCCAAAUCAGUAGAGCAUAGACAGAAAUUUGAAGCGGAUUGCCAUAUCCAAAUGGAUUGCGAGUUAAAUACCAAUUUCGUUAUAAUUUUGUAUUGGAAGGGCGAUUCAAACAUUGAAAUAAAAAUGCUUUUUGUAAUUUUUCAAUAAUGAAAUGAAGAUGACGAAAAGCGUAUUAACAGAAGAUGGAGGGAAACAAAACAACAAAAGACAUGCUAGCUAUAUAUUAUCAUUGUCAUCACUUCUCUAAAUCUGAAGAGGGGGAAAGAAACAUUAGAAAGAAAGUAUCUAGUACUCAAAGAUAAGGGAAUAUUGUUCAUGUGUUCAUAAUAACCAGAUAAGGAAACAAGGCGUGUUCAGCAGAACUCAAUCAAUAACACUUCCAAAGAAAAGUUGUUAAUCCUCCACCACUAAUCCCAACUGAGUGGACUCUGAAAAGUUUCACAUGCAUGGGGGCAGAGUAAGAAAAAAGUGGAAGCAACAAAGAAAGGUAAACACUAACCCACAUGCACAUGCAAUGUUGUUAUCUUUUUUAAUCGGACAUGCAAUGUUGUGAUUGAUUUAACAUUGAACGAAUAACCUAGAGAAAUGCCUUUUCCCUUUGUUCAAUUCAUGUGAACAAACCAACAUCGUGUUUAUAUCGUUUUGAGUUGAACAUUCCAUUACAUUUGGUGGCAUCAAUGAUAAUUGGAUAGUAGCUAUGGAGCAAUUCAUAUCUUUUCCAUUUAAGAAUAAAUAUUGAAAGCUAUUCACAUUUUUAUAUAAUAACCAAAUUUUAUUUCAAUAACUCGUGUUUUAAAACUAUGUUAAAAUAUAUAACAAUCGGUAAAUAAAAUACAAAAAAGAUAUAAAACAAAAUGGAAUGAAAUAUAAUUAUUUUAUUAUUUCGUUAUUUCAACAUUUUUAUGAUGAAACAUGGAAAAUAAUGUUAUACCUUUAGAUUAAAAGGAUUAAAAAAAGACUUGAAAUAAAAUAGAAUGGAAUGUGUACAUUUUGAUAAAUUUUAUUUCAUUUUUACUAUGUACAGUAUAUUUUAAAUACUUUAAGAGUAAAUAUACAAAGAACAGAAUAUAGUUACUUGAGAGCUGGAACUGCAAUGAAGCCAUAGAAAUAGGUGUAAUGAAAAGAAAGCCCUUGAAACUAUAGUUCCAUUAUUCUAGUUCCAACUGUAGUGGAGAAACUAUAAGGUUUCCAUAAGGGACCACAACCUACUUGAAAUUAGCUCGAUGCAAGAUCCUCCCUGAAUCCCAAGCUUUACCUUUUCCUUUCUCUAUAGCAGACAACAAAAUCUGUAACAAGUUGGCUGCAUCUUCCUCACAAGCUAGUUCUAAAUUUGUUUGAGGAAGUGGAAGAUGAGUCGGAUAAUGGUUGAAACGCACAGCCCUGGUUCUGCUACCACUGCCUCUCUUGGGAGAAUUCUGAUUUUGCCUAAAUGAGGAGGAAUCUGGUCCACUACUAACAAUGUGCAAAACACCUUGAUCAUCACUGUCAGCAUGUAUUAUACUCUCCAAUCCAAUCUCCCAUUCAAUUAUCCACUCCAAAUCAGCAGGGAUGCCACAAAAUUCAGGCUUGCCCAAGUUUAUCAAACUUGGACUGGAAACAGUCAAUACAAAUCUUUCUGUUAUGACAGCAAACUUGCCAGCUUCUUUAAGGGCUUUGCAGGCCACUAACUUCUCAUCUUUAUACUUUAACCCAUCAUCACCCUCCAUAAGGAAGGAUGCACCAACUGCUUCUUCCCAUGCAUAAGGUCUUAAUGGAAAUUCACGGUAAAGUGGCCUUUGAAGCCGGACCCUAAACCGCUGUGAUCUUAAUUGAUUGGGUUUACUGCGGUUUCUAAUACUAAGUGCAGUUUUGCCAGUAACUUCAAGUAUACUAGCAGCAGGUUUUGCCACAAGUCCUGUAAUCCCUAAAGCAACUCCUGCAAUAAAAAUAAGCAAUAAUUGUCACUGACAAUUGUUAAAGGUGCUUCAAGUUUAUAAGAGAUCAAAACAAUUCAAUCAACUUGAUUUACCAGAGAGGACACCAGGAAGACCAUGCCUCUCUGCUCCUCUUAUAGGUGACUGGAGGAGACCAGUGAGUCCCUGCAAACAAUAUAGAAAUGCAAAUGCAGGAUUAGAUCUUCUAGUGGAUGCAUGGUAAUUAUUCACUUAAACAGUCAUUAUAUAUAACUAAUAUUUUAUUCCAUGAGAAAUUGCAAGGGAAAAAACGACAUGAUUAUAUAUAAGUAUAGCUAUGGAUGAAGACAUGAUUUCUCUGGAUCCCAUUGAACUGUGUUAUCCUUAGUGUGGUUCUAUCCCUAGGCUUGUCAAACUAGCUGAUGACUAAGUUGAUGCUAGUAUGCGUGCUGGUCACAUACCUCUAAGACUUCAUUAAUUACACCUUUACUGUCAGAAGAUACAGUUGCUUGGUGUUUUUCCACCCCUGAAACAGCUUGGUCAUCAUAUGUAAAUGCAACAAUACCCUAGAAUAUGAAAAGGAAAGCUAUGAUUAAGAACAAAGUUCAAUAAUAUGAAUCAAAAUACAAUGAAAUAGAAGCAAGUAUCACCUUGCGUGCAGCUUUACUGAAUUGAGAAGUCGCAUCACUAAUAGCAUACAGUGUGUUGCUUAAAAGACUAGUGGUGCCUUGAGCCAUCCCCAUAAUAAGUCCAGUAGGGCUCUGCAAAUUGAACUCAGAGUGCUCAACUAAUUUAUUAGACGAGAAUAUCAACUAUAAAUAAAGAAAAGGGCCCAGCAUCUUUAGACUUUUACCUGCAUAAUGCUUUUUGCAGGAACAGACAAGAAAUCUCUGAUGCCAUGUCCUAUGCUCCUUGCAAAACCCAAGGGAUUACCAAUGACACCAGCCGAACCAAACAACUACAAAUUUAGAAGGAAACAAGGUACAACGUUGUUAUACAGAUGUGACACUGGGUACAUUAAGUUAAUAUUAUUGCACAGUAACAAGUUGUAUGUAAGGAAAUUAAUCAUUCAACUAGGUGCAGAUCAAAAUAUUCUCAAACACAAGUUGUACAACUUAUCAAAAUAGGAAGCACACUAAUGAUAGCACAUCAAAAAAAGAAGGGUUAAGCAUCAUAUUAGUCCCUGUCUUUGUGUCGCCGUCUGACCUAGGUCCCUCCCCGGAAAAUUUAUUGUAAAUGGUCCUCAUGUUUGAAAAUUAUUUGGAGCAGAUCCUCGCCGGAGCUCCAAGCUCCGGCGAGUGCUGAUUUGGAUCGCUGAUUGGGAUAAAAAUGCUUACGUGGAUUAUAAAAAAAAUAAAAAUUUACACAUCAGAAAAUUAAAUUAAAUUAAUAAAAUAAAAUUAACUUAAAAACUCAAAUUACCCCCAAAUUAACCCCAAUUCUAAAUUCCUAAAUCAGAAACAAUAACCCUCAAUUCCUAACCCUAAAUAACACACAACUUCAACAUAGAAACCCAGAAACUUCAACUUCUUCCUCAUCUCCCUCCUUAAUCUCCUUCCACAGAGCAAAUCAUACCUACCUGCAACCCACCAAAAUCAGUACCGGAAUCCCCUUCUCAGCCUCCAAAUCUAGCAUCAAGAACAUAUUUGGGGUGAGGUCGUGAGGCCGACAUUGGUGCUUCCAGAUCUAGCUUCAAGCACAGACCAGGUCGCAGUCGGCGGCAACCGGCGUUACCCGGCUGAGACGGAGCAGCAGCUCUUACCCAGAUCUGCGACAGUGGUAUACCGGCGACGAGCGUUAGCAGUUUCGCUUCUUCGAAAUCGACAACACAGCUAUGCAUAUUCCAUUUUUCUGCAACUUAGGCCCGGACCCAUUCUCUCUUUGUAUCUCAACUCAAGUGGUGGCUUCGAUACCCAUAAAUGGUGGGAGAGGUGAUGUGUUCUGGGUUUAAUUUCUAGGCAAAGAUACCCAGAAAUUCAUUUGUUUAGGCUUUAUUUGCAUUACCUGUUAAUUUGUUGGCAGAAUCAUGGUCUGAUUUCACUUUCCCUGCUUUUCUCCCACUAAAAUGUACAGAUUUUUUUAUAACUGCGGUUAGAUAAUGGUUUAGGGUGAUUACAAGGUUGCCAGCAAAUCGUUUUUGUUGUAUUCUCUUCUUUUUCAAUAGCAAAAUUGCAAGAGUGCUGACGGCAAGCUAGCACGCCCUUUACUGUUUGUGAAAUUUAUGAAUUCUUACAUCUAUGAAUUUUGUGGAUUUAUGGGUUUGAUGUGGUAAAUGACGAUGAAGAUGAACAUGGUUUGGUUUUGAUGAAGAUGAAGAUGACCAAUGGGUUUGGUUUUGAAGCAGGGUAGAGGGAAGGAUUUCAAGAGGGGAUGGAAGAUUAUGAUUUUUUUGAAGAGAGAGGAAGCAUAUGAAGAAUUUUUUAUUUGAUUCAGAUGAGAGAUGAAAUGGGUUUGGUUUUGAUGAAGUUGAAGAUGAUUUAGGGAAAAUUGAUUUUGUUAAUUAAUUUUUGGAUUAGAUUUGUUAAUUAGUUUUAUUUUUGUCAAUUAAAUUAAAGUUUCUGAUGUGUAUUUUAUUAUUAUUUUAUUAUUAUUUUUAAUUCCACAUCAUCUUCAUUAAUCCAGUCAACAUGUCAUUUAAGCAUUCGCCGGAGCUCCAAGCUCCGGCGAGGAUCCGCUCCAAAUAAUUUUCAAACAUGAGGACCAUUUACAAUAAAUUUUCCGGGGAGGGACUUAGAUCAGACGGCGACACAAAGACAGGGACUAAUAUGAUGCUUAACCCAAAAAAGAAUGAACAAGUUCCAAUAUUCAACAUAGAUAAUUGAGAUGAAAUUGAUGAGUUGGGGCAAAAGAUUCAUGCUUGUCAUUUCUAGCCAGACUGAUGUACAAAGUACAAACACAGCAAGAUUUUGAGAUAUAAAUUAACUCUCUACCUUGUAAGUCUCAUGAAGUAGUUGGCGGUUGUAAUGCCUAAUUAGAAUCUGCUGAAUGGAUUCCCAACUAGCCAUGUGAUGUGCAAUGGUUAAAUCCUUUAAAUAAAUAUGGGCUCCCUCCACAUCAGCAAGGGCCAUAAGUCCUCUCUGAAAUUAAUCAUAACGUUUUGUUAAAAAUAAACCACUAUCAGUAAGUUUACCGUGAAUUAAUAUAUCUCUCUAAAGCUUUAAAAAAGAAAAUUGUUGAACAGCAUGAUGGGUGUAUGUAUAUAUUGUGAAGUGACUAAAGAAAAAAAUGCGACUAAUCAGUUUAGGCAUGUACAUUAUUAGAAUUUAGGAGACCUAACUCUACCCAAAAACAAGGUGAGAGUUGCUCUACCCUUUAUAAGGACUAUUUUGGUCAUAUCUCUAGUUAAUGUGAGACUUCUAACACACCCCUUCACGCCCAAGGACAACUGGAGCGUGGAACAUGCAGGAAUGAACAUCUGCGGGUGGCCCAUAUAUGGGUGGUCUCCAAUAAACGAUCUAAGAUAUGCUCUAAUACCAUUUUAGAAUUUGGUUUAGGCCUACCACUACCUCAAAAGCUAGAUCAAGAGGUGAAGAUUGUCUUCCCAUAUACAAGGGCUAUAUUGUCACAUCGCUAGUCGAUGUGAGACUUCUCAACAUACAUAUUUAUACCAUGUAGUAUUAUUAACAAGAUGAAUCAUCUCCUAAAACUAAUACUACCCGUUAUACAUGUGCCUAGUUCCAAUACAACUCCUCAAGCUAGAGUAUGUGUCAUGUGUGCCAAAAUUGUUACAAAUAAUGUCAACUUGAGGACCUAUAAGGGAUUUAGUAAAUUAUGAGCUAAUGUAUUUUAACAAUUUUGCUCCUCUAGAGGGGUCAUUUUAAAGGGGUAAUGUGAGCAAUUAAAUCCAUUCAUUGACAAAUCCACUGUUGAAAUUGUCAUGCAUACUUGCGGGUGUAUAAUAAACCACACAGCGUCCUUAACUCUGUUGAUUUCUCAACCAUGUAUUGGAGUAUAGUACCAAACCCAAUUACACUCGGCUACACAGGAUUACACCUAUUGGGAAGUUAGAUGGUCAUUGUGUUAUCUUAUUUCAAGUUGGAAUAGCCAUCCUAGUAUGAAGAACACGUCAUGCGCACACAAGUCUCAAGUUUCUUAUCGACAGCAUACAGUUCAACUCUAACUUGUACGUAUUGGAACUCGAACCCACCAUUACAAAAGAAGAAUGAAAUACUACUUACAUGGAUAAGAAAUUCCUUGGACGUGAGGAUACGAUUGCGAAUCAUCCAUGGGGCACUGGAAAAACUGGAUUUGUACAAAUUAUAUGUCAAAUGGGCGUGUCAAUAGUAUAAUAGGUAAUUUAAAAUAGCAGUUAGAGUAAAGAUAAGAAUGAGAGAUUGACCUCAAAGUCAAUUUGAUUGGUGCCAAUUCAAGCAUUUCAAUAUAAAUUUUCUUCUUGGUUCGGGCUAACAGAUAAAUUUCCUGCCAUGGGGCUCCAAUUGGUACGAUGGAAGGCAAUGAUGCAAUUCUUAGAGGACGCUGGUCAGCACUUAAUCUGAAAUUCUCACUAGUAUGAACAAAUAAGGAUGAAUCCUUUAGUGAUACCCCAUCAUAGUGAUUUGAAGAUGGCACGAUUCCAAACUGCUGCCCCGAAGAGAAAUUUGUAAAGAACUCAAAUAAGCUCAAUAUAACUCCUUGUUCGAUCUCGAGAUGGAAAUCUGCUAUCCUGCAAACAUUAAGCAAAAUAAAAAAUGACUUAUAAACACCAAAAAAUACCAGUAAUAGUGAACUAUAAGUGAUGCAACAAAGAUGGGAAAAAAGAAACCUCAUUUUUAUGUAUUCAAAUGAAAUAAAUGAAAUGUCUUUCUUCCUCCAUUUUGAAAUUUCUAAGCACAUCACAGGAGUAGAAGAGCUGCUUCCGAAACUCUUCUGAUUUAAUUUUUCAAUUCUUGUUCUCAUGACAUCAUCCCUCGACUUUGUGUUGUCAACUUGGCAGGAUCUAUAUCCAUUAUUGAAGGACAACAAAACUGGAUAGGGAGUAGAGCGCAACUGGUUGUCAAUUUGUAUGAAUGAUAUCAUCAUGGAAAGCCUUUGGCGAUCCAAACUUUGCAGGAGGUUUAUUUCUAUAUCUUUAAUACAGGCAAAAAGCAAUUCCUACAGAAAUAAAAGUACGAUUAACAGAGAUCACAAAGAUAUAAGAGCUCCAAUAAAGAAAGCUCACAGUCCAGUUACCUGUGGGUAUGAAUUAAUCAAAGAGAUCCCAAUAUAUUGAAUACAAAUCGAUAUUUUCUCCUUAUAUUCUGCAGGCCUAACUUGGCUAUGAUCACAUAACCUUUUCUCUGCGGCAUGUUGGACACUUGAAUUCUUCACAUCAUUAAAAAUAUGGUAAUUUGAAUCAAGAACACUAAGGACCUGAAAGAAAAAGACAUUAUCCAUGAUGGCAAGGGUCGUGAUUUUUCAAGUCAGGUAUCUUUAGUCAAAUACUAUGGAUUUACCUUUGUUGCUCCCUCUGCAUGGACUGACAAAAAGAAUGUCCUCUCUGGUUUCUGCAAUCAUCAUUUACAUAAGCCAACAUUAUCUAGAGAGUUAGUCAUUAACUUGGUAGUAUAAAAAAAGAUGUAACAUUCGGGGGGAGCAAAAACAGAAGGCACAAUAGCCAAUGGUAGCAAACAUAAGUGGCUGAACGAGGGUUGGUCAACAACAGGAAAUUGAAGAUAGGUAGUGACGAACCAACACCUGGUGCAAGACAAGCGAAGGAAAACGAGCAGAAUAGUGGCACCAGGAAGGUAAACAAAGGCUUGGAAACUGGCGAUUGGUUUACAGGAAUUUGCAAGAAGACAUGCACAUAGAGGCAUUUGAGAAUGUUUCGGAGAUGAGGUUCUCAGGUCUAAAUGAAAGCCAACAGAAGCGGAUGGCAAUGGACAGCAUUGCAGAUGGAAGAUAGCACUUGACGGAAUUUCUGCCCGUAAUAAAGUUGCUCAAAGGAAAAUGGAGGCACUGGACAGUGAUGACUGUAAUCAAGAAGACUUGGAGUUUGCAUGGCUGCAAUAAAGGCAGCCGAAGCUUUGCAAGAGCAAUCUCUCCUAGAUCAGGAACUCUAAUAUCAAGUGGAAAUAGGUUGCGAAGAGAAAUUAUAAAUACCAUUCACUAGGAAAAAUGUAUAUAGCUUAUUUACAAUUUAUAUACCUAUAACAGGAAAAAAAACUAUAACAAGAAAGGAAAUAAACGCUAAAAGAGAGAAAGUAAUAUCACUUGAAUUAACAGUUAGUUUGUCCAAAAAUAUUUCUAAUUUACAUUAUGUACAGCAUUGUUUUACUAACUUAAUGAGACCAUUGCAAAACGUUUUACCUCAGAGGUUGAUGGCAAGUGGACAGGCAUAUACUCUUUAACAUCAUCAAGGGCAUAUGACCCCAAAACCCGCUCUCCAGGUACCUUCCAUUUUUGUAACAAGCAUGUUAGGCCAUGUAAUUUAUGGCUUUCAUUGUACUAAAUUAAAAAAAAUAAACAAAAAUACCUCCACAAUAAGGCGGCGUGGAUAGCAGGGUUCAUCCCAGGUAUAAGGGUAAGAAGAAUAGCUGUGAAUGACUGCGUCAAAUAUUUCACACUUCUGCUGAUAUAUUCGCAGUCUCUAGAAAGUAGCAGGAAAAACAUAAUUUCAGUCAUAAAGGGAUUAAGAAUAUCUCUAGAAAGUAGCAAGAAAAACAUAAUAAAUUUCAGUCCUAAAUGGAUUAAGAAUAACAUAAAGUUCAUGCUCCUUUGAUGCAACAACUUAAUCACAACCAAUACUACUGGAGUAUUGGUAGAUGCACUUAGAUGAAAAUAUAGACAAAAGACAAAACCAUCUAAAUAAAAGAAGUAGCACUACAGGGACCAGAAGGUCUGUAAUGCGACUGAAAAACUAGAGACAGACCUCCUUCGAGAAAUUAUCAAUUCUGUACGGCAUGUAUCCUGUAUCAUCAUCUGACAAAAGAAUCAAAUUGGUCCCUGAGUUUCCCUUGAUGCUUCCAAUUACUUUUUCAUCUCCCAUUGAUAUGUCAGCAUUUUGCACUUCAACUCGUAUCAUGUUUGAAGUCCCAGAAAUAAAGUUCCUCAUUUUCAGUAGUGUAUCACCCAGAUGAUCCGGUAAAAAGCUGCCAGACCAUUGCCAUCCAGAUUCGUUAUAACAAGUUGAAACAAGCAGCUCCCUGCAUGACAUAUUAGAAUAGAAAUAGUUCAAACAAACAAGAGAAAGAGAUGAAGAAAAUAUCAAUGGUCAAACGAACUAUCCAUGUUCAAGAUAGCCACACAAAAAAACUAUCCAAAAUAAAUACCUAGCCGUAUCUGUCCAGUGAAGAUGAGCAUGUUCUCCUACUCCUAAAUAAAACAUGGCAUCAGUGCCCUUCUGCUUAUAAGAUAUUUCCUUGCUGCAAGCAUUGCUAAUCACAUAUCUGCAUAUUUAGAGAUCAUUAAUAAGACGGAAUGAAACCAUGGUAAACACUUUUAGGUGUCUAUCAAGAAACUCGCUAUCGUAAAAGCUUGUAGGAUAAGACUAAAAAAUAAGUUAUAAACAAUAUCCUAACAUGAACCCCUUUCUAAAUUGAAGGGUGAAUAAAGCUGAGCCAUACACUUAUCAUUCACACAUGUUCAAUUAAAUCAAGAAAAUAUCUUUUCAAAGGUUCAAUUGAUUUCAUUGCAUUAUCUGAAAAAUCAUAUAGGAUAUAAACAUCAAUCCUUGAUAUUUUAAGAAACAAGAAACUUUCCAUCCUAACUAAAGAUCCCUAGACCAUCAAUCUAGGUUCAAUAGACUGCCAUAACAAGGAUACGAGCUGAGAAUUGGCCUUCUUCCAUUCUUCUUUCUGAGGAGCAGUAAUGUCAGAAACCUUCUUAGAAGGAUGUACCCAUAAACCAAAUUUCAACAGCUUCAAGUAGUUCUUCCCAUCAAGCUUUUUCGAGGUAAUGGUAGGAGAUACGCUAAAUGCACACGAACACCAAAUUCUUCUUCGGCAGGUGAUCUUCGGACAGGUCAGCCCUGAAGAAGAUAGAAAAACACCCAAACACAGAAAAGGGUCGAUAAACCAGUGUGAACAGUGCACAAUGGUGAGAGGCGUAAAAAACAAGGCCAAAACAGGGGACCCAAAAAAUCAUAUCUGACCUCAGACGUCAAAACAGGGGCCAAAAACAGAGAACCCAGCAAGAAGAACGCACAGCGGAGAGAGAUGUCAAAGGGAGACGUAAAAAACAGCAGACCCAAGAACCAAAAGGGGUCAAAACGCAAAGAGUAAGGCAGGGCGAUCACGACGAUGGCAGAAAAAAGGCAAGUGGCCUGGCACGUGCACUUCAAACGCCGGCGAACCUGCAGUGUUGUGGCAGUGGGUGGGAGGCUGUGCAGCAGUGAAACUUCGACUGAAGGAAGAUCGGCGGCCUCUGGUUCUGUUGGCGGGGGUCGUGAAGUCACCGGACCACUGGAAAAAAUGGGGGCAGUGGGGCACGGUGGCGGCUGAAACCCUAACCCAAAAAAACUAAAAGCUCUGGAUACCAACUCGAAUCUGAUGAAAAUAUUUUGUGUAUUUCAUCGACAUGAUUGUACAAUUUAUAGAUACAACAAACAGAUGAUUCUACCUUAAUGGAUAACACAAAUCAAAAAUAGAGAAACUAUAUGAUAAACCUUAUCUUUUUUUCUAUGAGAUAAAGUAAAUCUAAAAUAGCAGACUAAGUCUUAAAAAAGUGAAUGGUAUAUUAUAUUUCUAACAGAUUUCAUUGCAUUAAUCAGAAUAAUCAUACAAAAUAUAUGCAUGAGACCUAUGCUAGUUCAGAAAAUAAGAAAACUUUCUAUCCUAAGUCCUAACCAAGACCCCUUGGUUUAAGGGAUUUUCCUAAUAACACAAAUCUGUACAUCCUCACAAAUUUCCUAAAAUACCACACAUGAUUUCCAACAUAAGCAAAUACCAAACUCGUGACUUCAUCAAAGAAGAUUUAGUACGGUGUCAUCGAACCCACCAAAAACUGUAAACUUUAAGGGGAGGUUCACAAAUAGAUUUCAAGAUUCAUAAAUAACAGUAUCUAAUAUCUAAGUACCACUUUAUUACCUAGGCUGGAAAGUAAUUGCAUGUGUCCUUCCAGCAUAUUCAGCGACUGAGCUAGAUGUCACAGCUAGAAUGAAUGCAGAAUUUGAACUCAACUGAGGAACAUAGACAGUACUUGAACCACUUGGUGGCAGCAGAGAAAAUGGAUUUGACCAUAAAGAAUAUGGAAAUUGUUUCCUGACAUCAUCUGGAAAACAUCUACUCACUUUAACAAAAACAUCAUUUAUAGAGGAAUUGGGGCUUGGAGAAUACAUGCAUGGCCAAACCUUUUCAGGCUCAUUAUUACAAGGACCUGAAUCCUUCCUAGUUGACUGGUUGCUUGACCUCAUUGUACUCGCCAGUUUUUCUAAAGAAUCACUUUUGCUUUGUUGCCUUCCCAAAUUUUCAUGGUAGUUACCAAAGAGCACAGAGUUCCUUUUAUAACUAACGAAGUUUGGACCACCAUCCUCUCUGCAUGAAAUGGUAUGAUUCUUUAGAUGAUUCAUUGGCGUACAAGGAACAUCAGCAUGCAGUUCAUGGUUGGAUAUAAGAAGAGAAAGACCAUCCUUUUUGUCCGAAAAUGUUUCUUUUUCACCCAAGUCAUCAUAAGAAGGAAUGACAAACCCCCUCUCAUUGGUUUCACCAGUGGUUUCCGUUACACACAAGGGAAAACCCAUACAGUUAUACAAAAUAAAGGGAACAAAUAUAAUCAGUUCCCUACUGCCGGAAUAUGCAUCCAUCACCUUCUCCACGGUAACAUAAACAGGGCCUACAAGUGAGCAAGAAAAUACUUUAAAGGAUGGAACUACAAAACAAUACAUACAAGAUGGAAUCUACAAAUAAAAUCAGUUACCAUUGGAAUUAUUUGGUUCCAGUAUCAGGGUUUCAGAAAAUGAAAACUUGGUUUCACUAGACUUGGCCAUUGAGCAGAAUGUUUCUAAACGCGGAAAUUUAAAAUCAGAACAUUUAAAUCCAUCAAUGCAGAUCUUCAGUCCCAGGUCAUGUGAGGGAUCGAUAUGAUACACAGAAGUAUCCACCUAGAAAAUAAAAUACGUAGUUACACCACCAUAAUUAACAGGUGUAUACAUUAUCGGUUUCUUAAUAUAUUAUCAACAAUGUAUACAAAGAAAGGACUAUCACAAACCUCCGAAACUUUCACAGUGUGAUCUACCCCACCACUCUCACUAAUCAACAACAUUUCCUCAGGAAGGUAGUUGUAAACUACUAAUGGAGCACUUAGGAUGAAAUGAUGAAUAUAACGCUUUGCAUCAUCUGUGGACACAUUAUUUUUCAACCGUCCAGACGAACUCAAGCUGACACUUUUAACUGACAUACAGCACCGAAAUGGAUGACUACUUGGAAGAGAUGGAUAGCACAUGAAAGAUUUAAGAUUUCCUACAUCUCCAUUUAUAGAGAGAAGAUUUGAAAGGUUAUGAGCUUCACUCCACAAAUAAGAAUUCCCUGUCGGCCGCCACCUUACACAACCAGCUUCAGCCAAAUGCAGUGGAAGUGGUAACUGUUGCCCAGGGUGUAUUGGAUCUAAUAUCUGAGGUAAUGAAAUUAUACAUCAUAAAGCAAUAUCAUAAAAUAACAAUGCACUAUCAAUUGAAAUUGUGAAGAUGACAUAGAAACUCAUGUACCGUUGGUGAGACACCAAAUGGAAUAUCAAACCGCAGCUCAAGAGGUGUAGAAGUUGCAUUUAGAAGUACAACCUGUAUGCCAAAAAGUUAGCUUAUAAGUAAAAAGGAGGCCUGAAGUAAAUGGAAAACAUCAUUAAGAAAACUUAUAAUCACUUUCUACAUACAGUGGAAUAUAUUCGAAUUAACUUGCUAUAGCGCAGCAUAGAAACAUCAAAAACAACUGGAACAACAAAAGUAGCACCGCUAUUCAUUCUGCCACCUUGGCCGUUCUGAUUAUACGUCUUCGAGAAAUUAACCUCAAAGCAUGUUAGUCCCACUAAAUCCAUGGAAAUUGGAUCAGAUGGCAUAGAUGCCCCGUCAAGUUGUACAGUAAUAUAAUGAUGAGUAAAACCGCUUGAACUUUGCUCAUUUAGACUAUCAGAAGAAUUAGAAUGCCUGUAAUGUGAGAGUCUCUGUUCAUCAUUUUCAUCCAGGUAUACUGAAAUUGCAGAACCUGGUUGCACAUAAUUUGCAUGAUUCUCAUCAGAUUCAAAAAUUUCAUCAGGAUUCGAGGACCCGUGAUAUAUGUGAUAUAGAAGAGGAACAGAUGUCAAGUUUUGCAGAACGUAAGGAGCAGCACAUCUUUUAGAAGACAUAUUCUGAGGACAUGAUGAGUGUGAAAGUUCGUUGCCUUCAAGAUCUUUUGAUCCUUUCAGACCCAAGGCAUCAUUCAGAAUUUCAAUAGCAUGUGAAACACACUGCAAGAAACAAAGCUAAGCAAAAUUUACAUUGGGUAACUUUUAAUAAUGAUAAGCUGGAUGUAUAUAAAGAAGAAACCCAAGGUAAACUGACAAAUACUGGUAUAUCAAAAACCUCUAAAAAAAGUGUAGAUCGUCAAGAUUGAAAUUCAGUUGCUGACACAAGGCGAAGAGAAAUUUACAAAUCCAUGUUAAAAAUAAAAGAUGAAAAAAGGAAACCCCUUGUUAACAUAUAAUCAGAAGAAGAAUGUAACAAUAAUCUCUUCAUGCUAUUAGAGCAUUGUUGUAACAAACUUGACCGAUAAUAUGAGUUCGGACUUUCUGUUACAGUUAGAGUUAGGUUUCUCUCUACUCUAAAACAUGCCAAUGUAUUUAAGCAUUCGAAGGAGACAAAACAUUUAAGAUUAAACAAGAAUAAAGAAACAUGGACAUAGGACAAUUGAAAAAUGCAACUAUCAUUAUAAAUUUUAGGUUUAAAUGAAUUGUGCUUACAUUUUUUAACAGAGUUAGACUAUUAUAAAUAUAGGGCCAAUGGACUAUCAUGUUGUAAAUGCACAUCAAAUGACCACCGACCAAAUAUUUGUUAUUUCCACAGUUGUCUUCAGAGAGACUGGAAAGAGAUGAUCCCAAGUGUAAUAUCAAAUAAUAAGUUCUCAUCAACAACAUAAAAGAAGGAAGCAAAAGUUUAUAUACCUCAACCAAGGAUUCUGUAAUAUUAAUGUUCAGCUGAGUUCUUGAACUGAUAACAAUAUCUGUUGAAACAGGCCUGUUCGGAAGAACAUUCAUUUCUUGAUCCCUAACUAAUGUCAAUAGAAACUGCCAAGGCUCAAUAAAAGGCUCCCAUGACACCUUCAAUUUUGCAGCAUACAAACAUAUCAGCCAUUGUUAAUGUCAUAGGAUUAAAACAAUAACAUAGGUAUAUACCAGGGGGGAAAAAAACCAAUGGUAAUCUCAUCAGAACACCUUUUCAAUAUUUUUGUAGUUUACUUGAAGAUCGCCAGUAAUAGAACAGUCCACAUGCUUUCCAAUUGCAACGGCAUGGAAGAGGAUGGUUCUGAUGAGAAUCUCCAACUGAGGCCCAUUAUAGCUCCACUACAAGUAACAAAAAAGAGGCUUAUAACAAGUUACAAUAUAUAACAUCAGGAAUAAACAUUUUCUUUUUGUCAGUGUUCAAGGGCUAUGUUAUUAUCCUAUAGGCUUAAAUAAAUCUCCUAUAGUAUCAAGUCAAUCCUAAGAACCCCUUGACCACAUAGGGAUUGCAAUGCACUGGCCAUUUCAAUAAUGCUGCAAAAUGAGGUAUAUCCUCCAGUAAGUAAAGAAUUUGUGUUCAAGUGGCUUGCUCAAAAUACCUUCCAUGUCAAUGAAUUAUUGUUGCCAAGUAGUAGAGUAGACAAAUAUAUUGGAAAAAACAAAACAAAACAAAAAUUCAUGGGAUGUUGAGUAUAGGCAGGAAAACAAAUUUCAGAAUUGAAUACUAAUGGUGCGUCCAUGUGUUAAAAUUCAUAAGUUAGAACCACACGCCACCACAAAACCCUAAGCUUAAGGCAAUAUGGGUGUGUGUCUUUUAUUUUAUAUACACUUGUACACUAGCUAAUCUACCACUAGCUAAUCUACCAGUUAGAAGUCCUGCAAAUCUCACGCUCCAGAUGUCCAGCCCUGGGCGUGAGGGGGAAGCUAUUACUAUUAUACUCUAAAAGGGGGUGUGUUAGGAGUCCCACAUUGGCUAGAGAUAUGGCAUAGAUAGCCUUUAUAAGGGUAGAGCAACCCUCAACUCUUGAGCUAGCUUUUGGUUUGAGUUAGGCCUCCAAUGUUCUAAUACGGUAUCAGAGUCUAUCCUAAAUCCGUCUGUUGGUGUUGACCUCCCACAUUAGGGUCACUUUGUACAUGUAGAUGUCCAAUCCUGCAAAUUUCACGCUCCAGAUGUUCAGCCUUGGGCGUGAGGGGGUGAAGGAGGCCUAACUCAACCCAAAAGCUAGCUCAAGAGUUAAGGUUUGCACACGCCCAGUGUAGAACAUCUGGAGCGUGGAAUGAAACGGGUGGCCCAAAUAUGGGAGGUCUCCACAACAAAUGGAUCUAGGAUAGGGGCCCAGGCCCAUGGUCAAACAACCAUUGGCUCUGAUACCAUGAAGGAGGCCUAACUCAACCCCAAAGCUAGCUCAAGAGUUAAGGUUUGCACAACCAUAUAUAAGCAAUUGCUUGGCCACAUCUCUAGCCAAUGUGGGACUCUAACAAUCCUAGAUUAGCAAGUGCACAAGUGCAUAUAAAUAAAGAACACGCACACCCAUUGCCUUAAGCCUAAGGUUUUGCGGUGUUGUGUGGUUCUAACUUAGGAUUUCUAACAUGGUAUCAGAGCUGGUCUGAUCCAAGCCAUGACUUCUGCUUCCCAAAAAAAAAAGAAGCAAAAAUGGCAGUCCCAUUUGCGCAAGCCAAGGCCUCAGACUCAGACAAAGGAGCACAAGUCCAAGGAACUCCGAUGUUCCCGCUAGAGUACUAGCCCAGACAAAGAAAGUCGAAAGGCAGACUCAGACGAAGGAGCACAAGUCCGACGACCACUGAUGUUCCCGCUGGAGUGCAAGGCACAGGCAAAAAAAAAAUUAAAAAAAAAUGGAGUCCCAAUUGAGGGAGAGUAAUAGAGAUAAUAAAGUGGUGACUCAAAGAAGUCCCACAUUGCCUAGAUUAGCAAUUGCACAAGUGCAUAUAUAAUAAAGAACACAAACACCCAUUUCCUUAAGCCUAAGGUUUUGCGGUGUUGUGUGGUUCUAACUUAGGAUUUCUAACAGGUGUGUUAGAAGUCUUACAUUGGCUAGAGAUAUGACAUAAAUAAUCUUUAUAAAUGGUAGAGCAACCCUCAACUCUUGAGAUAGCUUUUGGAUUGAGUUACGCCUCACUAAUCUGAAUAUGGUAUUGGAGUCUAUCCUAGAUUAGUUUGUUGGUGGAAACCUCCCAAUUGGGGCAUCCUGCAAAUGUCCAGUGCAAUUCCCAUGCUUCAUAUGUCUAUCCCUGGACGUGAGGGGUGUGUUAUAAGUCCUACAUUGGCUAGACAUAUGACAUAGAUAGCCUUUAUAAAGGGUAAAGCAACCUUCAACUCUUGAGCUAGCUUUUGGGUUGAGUUAGCCCUUAUAAAGGCUAUCAAUGUCAUAUCUCUAGCCAAUGUGAGACAUAUUUGAGUCUCCACUUGGUAUUCUCUAAUACUCCCCCUUCAAGUGGGACUCCAUUUUUUUUAUCUUCUCCUUGCAUGGGCUUGUACCCGUUCGUUCGAGUCUCUGAGGCCUUACGACUUGUUUUGCAUGGGCUUGUACUCCAGCAGGAACAUCAGUGGUCUUCAGACUUGUGCUCCUUCAUCUGAGUGUUAGAGGCCUUAUGACUUUCUUUGUCUGGGCUUUGUACUCCAGCGGGAACAUCAGUGGUCAUCAGACUUGUGCUCCGUCGUCUAAGUAUCAGACUUUACGGCUUACUUUGCCAUAGGCUUGAGCUCAGCGGAACGUCAAUAGGUGUUAGACUUCUGCUCUUGAGUCUCAGAGGCUUGUACUUUAUAUACUUUUUUUUUACAUUAUUUUUUCGAGAUUAUUUUUUUGAAAUUUUUUUUCGAGAUUUUUUUUUUGGAAGUAGAAGCCAUGGCUGAUUUUCUUGCGUGCAGGGUGUGUUAGAGAUAAUAAUAUAAAAUCAUUCAUAGCCCUUACCCAAUAGCUUAAACUUUUGGGAUAAUUGGUUCUUUAACAGAUAUUAUGAUAGGAACUCAAGGUUUGGGGUUAGUUAGUUAGUUAUACUUAGUGAGUUAGUUAGAAUGUUGUUGAGGCAUUUAGCCUAUAAAUAACAGACAUUAGAGAGUUAGGGGUAUCUUGGUAUUCAGUUAGGUAUUGGGAUUAGAGAGAGAAGUGGUUCUCUUUCUAGGGUUAGAGAGGGUGUUUGGCAUCUAUCACAUGUAUCUUUCCCCAAAUCCCCAAUUGGGAAUUAGGGUUCUAUCAAUAAACUACUGCUAAUUUUCUGGUUUCUAUCAUAUUAUCAUAAGAAAAUGAAGGGAUGUGAGAGAAAAUGUAAGAGUUUCAGUGACAAAGAAAGCAAAAGAUAAUCAAUGGGAUGAAUGAAGGCGAAAAGAAAAAAUAAAGCCAUAUAUUGGAGAAAGAAAAAAUAUACCUUUCCAUCUGUUAGGAGAAUAGAAACCUUCCUCAUCUGGAAUUUAAAAGUAAUGUCACUAGUUGAAUAUUGAGAAGAUCCUGAUUUGGGGACAUCAAAUUUUAUAUCACCCAACAAAAGCACCGUAGGAUGUGAGAGCCAUACAUCUGCAUGAUCACAUAAAAUCUCAACUUUGAGUUCUAUGGUAUCUGUAUGAUUUUUAUAGAGGACAGCGUCCAUAUGAACCCGAAUUAUAUCAAGCAGUGGCCAAGAUGUAUGCCUUCCACUCUCAACAAUUAUUAUUACACAGCUCAAUUUUUCCAUACUGGACUUCAGAUGAAUAUCCCUGCUUCUCAUAACUAAAUCAAAACCAUUCACAUUGAAAGAAACAGUAAGAAAUUUCGUGUCUUUUUCUUCAAUAAUAUCAGAAGAUACACGUAAAGGUGUCACCUUUAGACUUUCAGCAAUCUGAAAUUCGACACAUGGUUCUUCACUAGCCAAGACAGGGAUGUGAAAUUUAACACAAAUGUUUUCUGACCGAAUUACCAUUAAGACAACAUUCUCAAUUUCUUGUGCUGCAAAAGGUGCUGACGCGCCUUCAGAAUCAAGGGAACAAGAAGCAUCUUUAACUACCUCUUUUUUCACCGAAUUAACAGCAUUGACCGGCAAACUCGUAGAUGCAACAUCUAUAGGAGUUUCAUCCAAAUGUACACUUAAAUCAUUGAGAAACUUAAAAACCUCAGUCCACUCGGACAAAUGAAGCCAAAUAUCAAGAGACGAAAGAUGAAAGCUGAGUUCAUUCUUAAAGUCAACAGAUUUAGAUAAACAUAUGCCAAGUACUACCGUUGAGAUGGGAGUUGAGGUGCAUUUAGCUAGGACUGAUUCGUGUGAGGAGUAUAAUACCAAGGAGGAGAAACCCAAGUCUAACCAUUCCAAUGAAUCAUCUAUUAAGGAUGCAGAACAAGUAAAGCGCAAAUCACCCUUGGAUAUUAAUUUCACAAAAUCAUCAUGUCUAUGAGAGCAGCUUAUCAAUAAAGAUUCGGUGCAACAUUUAACUUCAGUCAACACAAUCGUUGAGGUCAUCGGAGUCGGAGAAUUGACUCCAGUUGUCAUUAGGCUUCUCUUUGAAUGAAGGAAUUGCAAAACAUCUGAUUUGAAACAUUUGGAUUGAUCGCCAAUUGUGGAGAAUUCCUCAAUAACAUCCUGUAUGGCCAAACAUCCAUCAAGAAAGUAGCUAUCUGUUUGUGAAGGAAACUUUCAUAAGUACAACCACACAUUGAAACAAUAUAAAAGUACAUGAGCAAGAAAAGUAUGGCUUAAAUAAGUUGAAGGGUAACCUUCAGCAAUAAGUUGACAACUUCUGAUGCUUGUCAUGAAACAUAAAGACGAAGAAUAGUUAUUGCAAUUAGUUCCACCUCCGCAUGGAAUUCUGACCCAAACAUCAGCAUUUAUGGGCGCAAUUAGAGAAGUUGAUAUAAAUUCCGCAUUUUCAAUUGUUGCCAAGCCAAGCAUAUCUUUCUUGUUCUUGUACAAAAGGAAUGAUACAAACAAGUCCCGCCCAAACACAUUCAAACAACUAUUUCUUUUGGCAAGCUUUUGAAUAGGAACAAAACACUCGGUAGGAAUGUCCUUCAAUGCAUCAUCAAAACCCAAAUUCUCGACAAAACUACAAUAAAGCUGGGGUAUUUCAACCUUCAGAAACUGAUGUUCAUUACUUUCCACUGGCAAAAUAAGAACAGAGUCUAAGAUUUCAAAUUUAUAUGUAAUGCUCGUUUCAUUUUUUGGCUCUUCAAAAGAAGACAGGUCACUUGAUUCGCCAGCCCAAUCAGAUAAUGAAAAGUACCCAAUGAUGAUGGACAGAUACUCAGAGGGUAACAUGCAGUACACAUGCUGAACGCCGAUGCUUAUUUCCAAAUCGACAGCUGAAGGUUUGUCCUGUGGUUUCCUAACCCUUACAUUUAAAAUAGGAGAAAUAUUUUCUGAGGAGGGACCCCAUAGAUAAUCUUGAAAAUUUCGAGGCCCCCAUGAUGAUGUAAGAACCAAUCCUUCAGAAGAAGACAAUAUAUCUAUAUUGUCUUCACACAAUAAUAGAGAAGUUUUAGAUGUAGGCACCGUGAUUGUUCCAAUAAUGCACGAUGAGUCAUGAAAAUGUACUCUUAUUCCAUACAGUUGCAACUCAAUGGAAAAAACAUUAGAGGUUCUCUCAAUCCCUGAUUCAAAUUCAAAAUCAGAUUUACAUUUUGAGGGAGAGCAUUGGAAAAUUUUGGACCCACUUCUCAUAUUGAUUUUGGAACUUCUUAUUUUUCUUUCUCUCAGAGUACAAUAUUUCCUCCAGUCUGGAAUGGCAUACACGAGUGAGCUCUCUAGACUACCAAGAGAACCAUGAUUGUAAAUCGUCACAAACGGAAAGCGAUCAAAUGGAAUGCAUGCAGAGUCAGAGGAGCCAAAAUCAAAAUAAUUAGAGAAUCCAAACUUUUGCAAACCAAAGCUCAAGAAACUUUCUGAAAUAUCAGCAGUUUUACUUUCAGAGGAUUUCUCAAACAUAGUACUAUAUGCAGAUAUCCUAUGAAAGAACCCAAUAAGCAGUCCAGAAAUAUGUGGGUAGCAGCGGAUAUCAGCGUUAUUCAGGUAUAUAAAACACUUGUGAGAUACUAAAUCACUUCUAGGAGAUUCAUAAUGCAUUUCAAAACAUCCAUCAGCCAACAUAGCGCCAUCUGAAUAUUGGUCAAAUUCAAUACUUGGUCCAGGAAACGACUCUUCUCCAACUGCAACACUAGAAGACGGUGAACACCCCGAUAAAAGCACAAAAUGGCAGUCAUUUUCUUCUUUUAUUUUAUGAGCACAGAUCAUUAAAGACUUCGUACUGAUAAGAACCUCUUGGAAUUCUGCAGAAGAAUACCUACAAAUAGAAAAACAAAAUGUAAAAAUUUGUUUUAGUGAACAUCAAUAAUUUCCAUUGUCCUGCAAAGAAAAUGAAGAUUUUAUAUUAACUCAAAUAACUUGGAUAUACCUAAAGCAAUCUAAGGUAACCUGAGAAAGAAGUGACGUCAAACUCAAAUACCAGUAAGAGCUGUGUUGUGAAUCUUAAAUAGCGGCUUAGCGACCGACCGCAAAUAUGCUAUAGUGACGUUACACAGAAUGUAUGUACAGUUUAUAUCUUAUACAAUGUGCAUAUAUAGAAUAACAACAACAAAAGCCGUAUCCCACUAAGUGAGGUCAGCUAGAUGGAUCACACUGCGUCAUUGAGCUUGAUCAAAAACCAAAUUAUGAGGAACAUUAUUGAUAGCGAGAUCAUCUUUAACAAUAUCUUCCCUUGUUUUUUUUGGCCUCCCUCUACCUCUCUUCACAGGACUAAAUACAAUGUUAUCAACCUUCUCACCGAUGCCUCCAUAAGACUUUGUACAUAUCCAUACCACCUUAACCAAUUUUUCGUAAGCAUCUCCACCUAGGUUGUCAAUCUCGGCGGGAUCCCGGCCCAUUUCCAUCGUGAUUCCAAGUUUUCUGAAAAUGCCCUCCAAAUUAAACGUUGUGGUGUUUUUUAGGGGUAUUUCCAGGUUUUCGCAAUGUAAAAACCCCUUGCUCGGUUUUUUAACACAUUGUUCUGCUUAGGUAGCUUCUGCCCUCUCCUCUGCUAAGGUAGGUCUAUGAAUUUUAGUAUUUAAAUAGUAAAGUACCGUGUAUCUUUUUGUUUUUAGUUCUAUUGAUUCAAGGGCCAGCAUUUCUUCAAAUCAUACAUUUGAAGUCAGGAUGCAUACAAUAGUCAAUAUUAAAACAAGCAGACGAACAAAGGCGAACAUACCGUAAGUCCAUGUCAUGUACGGAAACCACAAGCUCUGAGCUGUUAUCUCCACUAUUUUCAAGGUCCACUUCCAAAUCAACAGAACCAAGUUUGGAAAUAAUCGACAAACCAAAUGGAGAAUCUUUUGUAACAUCAGAAACAACCUUAUGAUGAGAAUCACAGUUCAAGAUUUCAGAUUCACCCCUUACAAGCGAUGUGUCCAGAUGAGUAAUCAAUUCUAUGAAUGCGCAAUACAUUGAGGGAGAAAAGUGUGCUUUAAGUGAUUCUAUGAGCACAUAAACCUGAAAUUAAGAAGUAUCUAAACUAAGAGAGACAGAAGACAAAACACAAAAUAAAAAGAAUUACAGAAAAACUACUGUCAGAGAUCCAUGUGUGUGCACGCACUAGUGUAAAGUCAAGUUAAUCUACUUAUAUUAAAUAUUCAAAUAUGCUAAUCACCUCCAAUUGAUUCAAAAUAGACUCAUCAGGGAUCACACAAAAUGCCAGGAAAAUUGAACAGCUAAAUUUCUCUAGAAUAGAAACCAUUUGAGAUUGGUCACACUUCAUUAAGGUGAUCUGCAAUAACAACAAACUAUAGUUACGAAAAUCAGAAGAAUAGAUCACAAAUAUAUAAUUAUAAAUCAAACAUAACAGAACAACUACAUGGAUUCAAACGCUGACCUGAAAAUCAUUUAGUUUAACAUCAAAAUAUUGAUAUAAAUCUUCAAGUUGGAUGCCUAAACAAAUUCCAGAUGAGGAUAUUGUAUUUAAAAAGUUCUUCAUUGUGAAAGGUUGUUCCUCAACUUUUGAAGACAAAGACUCAAGACUUGUGGACUUGAAGCAGAAAGACCUUGACUUCAUUACCUGUCGAAAAAUAACAUCAAUAACGAGCAUUGAACAGGAAAAAAUGAAGAAUCAAAGUGUAAUACAAAAACACAAAGGAAAUAUUCUUCAAGGGAUGUGUUGGUGCUAAAUGAAUAAAUACAACAGCCUGCAACCAGCCCUUUAAGCACAAUAUAUUAAGGAAGCACUAGGAAAUUGUCUCUGGUAUGAAAACAUAACUCAUUUAUAAGUUAUAGGAUACUCCGAUGCAGACUGAGAAGGUUCUCUUGCUGAAAAAGAUCCACUACAAGCUACAGCAUUUUCACUGGUGAGAACUUGAUUGCCUAUAAUUGCAAGAAAAUGACAGUAGUGCUAGGAUAAAGAGCAGAAGCAAAAUACGAAGGCAUGGUUUCCUCUACCUGUGUAAGUUAUGGCUCUAGCAAUUACUUAAAGAAUUGAGGUUUGGGGAAACUACACAUAUGACAAUCAUUUAUGACAAUCAGGCAUCACCGCGCAUUACACCAUUACUUCUUGUAAGGAGAGAAAAGACUAAGAGAGAGAGAGGGAGGGGAGAGAGAGAGAGAGUCAGAGAGAGAUUGUAAUGGGAUACCCUCCUAGGUGCAGCCUCCCUCAUAUAUAUAAUAUUAGGUUAAGAGUAGUACAAAGUGUACAACAAUGUACUUAAAGUACAUAUGGGCUUGGCUCAUAGACUCUACAUCAAGCCCUAACUCUUAACAUAAUCUUUAUCGCUAACACCCCCGCUCAAGCUGGAGCAUAGAUAUUAAUCAUUCCCGGCUUGUUACAAAUAAAAUCAUUAUGCACCCUAUUUCAAAGCCUUUGUAAACACAUCUGCAAGUUGAUCACUUGUCCUAACAUAAGAAGUGGAUAUAAGGUCUUUUGAAGCUUUUCACAGACAAAAUGAAAAUCCACCUUUUCAUCAAAAACUAGAUUUGAUAAGAUAUGCAAGUCAGUCUGAUAAUCACACCAAAGUUUCAUCGGACAUAUGCUCUUAAUUCCCAUAUCACUCAAGAUUUGUCCUACCGAUAUAAGUUCACAUGUGGUUAGAAGCUUUGAGCCAUAGCCCGAAAUUCAGCUUCUACACUUCAUCGUGCCACCACAUUUUGCUUCUUGUUUUUCCAUGAAAUUAAAUUACCUCCCAAAAAAUACACAAUAGCCAGUGGUGGAUUUUUCUAACCAAAGGAUAUCCUCCCAAUCAGAAUCCGAAAAUGUCUCCACUCGCAUAUGUCCAUGAUCGUUGUAUACGAUACCUCUCUCUAGCAAGGUUGUCAGACUCGUGAGUCUAAGCAGAUUCGUUUUGGGUAGGUAGACUCAACUCAUAGACUCGACCCGUAGACUCGUCGAGUCUACCAGAAAUGAAAAAUUACUAAAUAUAACCAUGUCACAUGAAGAACAAAUAUAAACAUAUUUUUAUAAGAGCAUCCAGAUGCAUUUAAUCAAAUAAACUCAAAAUCCAACUUCAUAAUAAAGCAAUUAAGCAAAGUCCAAGGUGUGAUGGCCUUGGACGUCGGAAGUAGGCGGCGGUGCGACAGAAGCAGGCAGCGGAAGCAGGCGAUAGAAGCAAGCAGGUUGAGAGAGAGGAAACGUGACUCGCGAAAACAGUAAUGGAGGCUGAAAUGUGACUCGCUGACUAGGUCAUUGACUCGCGAGUCCACCGAGUCUACCGAGUCUGAGCAAAAAACGAGUCUGCUGUCGAGUCAACCCAUUUUCCUCACCUAGACUCACGAGUCUACCGAGUCUACAAGUAUACUCGCGAGUCUGACAACCUUGCUCUCUAGGGCUUUCUUCAAAUACUUAACAAUGUGUGUCUGCCAGGGAGGUCAUAAACUGACGUACAACACUCGCUGGGAAAGCAAUAUAUGGCCCGGUGACAAUCAAGUAAUUCAGCUUACCCACCAAUCUUCUAUAUUUUUGUGGGUCAGAGAAAGGAACUCCUUGUGUUGUGAGUUUCAUUCUUGGUUCCAUAGGGUUCUCACAUGGUUUAAAUCCCAUAAGACCAGUCUUAGCUAGCUAAGCCAAAACAUACUUCCUUUGCGAUAUGAGAAUCCCAUUCUUCGAGAACAUAAAUUCAAUGCCCAAAAAAUAGGUGCAUAAAUUCAACUCUUCACAUAAUCUUCGAUCCCUAACAGUUAUUUAUGUAACAAACUUGGUUCAUAUGAUUUCUGUGCUCAAGCUUGAGGGGGAGUGUAAGAAAGAUGUAAAUAUGGUUUAUAUCAUUGUAGUUAUGGUAACUGAAAAUCUUGUAUUUAUGUCUUGAGUAUAUAUAUAUAUUAUCCUUCGUUGUAUAAUUAAAACACACGUUCUAUAUCUCCCAUUUUUCACUCUUAACAAAACUAAUUAAGACACAUCAUCUUAAUAAAAUAAGAAGCAAAUAAAUAUAGGGCAAUAAGAAAUAAUUAAUUAUAAAGAAUAAUCUAAAUUACUCUAAGAUAUGAUCAAGAUAUUAUAAGUUAUCUUUUUAUAUUCUAAUACUCUCAUUGAUGCUAAAGUCUAGGUUUAAGCGUGUUACAAAUCUAUAAAUUAGAAAAAGAAAAAUAACAAGGGACAUAAUUGAUUAUUUGGCACUGUUACAAGGCCAAAAUGAUUCUGUAGGAUUUUCGUGUGGCCAAAAAAUAAAACAAGGCUGACGCAAUUGUAAAUGAGCAACAACCAAACAAAGACACUGAAACAGGGCAAAAAGAGAAUCUUGGUGCAAAAUGAAGACAUUGAGAAAAGAAAGCCAAAGCACCUAUCAAUCAAAAGAACACUUCUACAAUCAAAGGGAUCCACAUUAGUUGAAGCAAGAAUUUAAUGUUUUCAGACACAAUUCAUACCCACACUGAGAAAUACUGUGUUGGAACUCAAUGAAGAUUUUGAUUCUUACUUCCCAGAAAUAACAAUAUGUUGUUUUACAUAGGCUGCUGGUAAAGGUUUAUCAGGUGGAACUGAGGUACAGUAGAUAAAGGAUUCAUUUAGGCAGUAUAACAUAGACAUCUAGAAUAACAAAAGCAAGGUAUAACAAAAACAAGUAAAAACUCAAUAAUACAAGCCGGUUGCCCUAUCUGUUCUGCAAGCUAAAAAGACCAACCGCCUUAAAAUAAUUACAGAAAACAGAAGCCACAAACAUCACGUUAUCACAUAACAGAUUACAUAGCAGAGACAACUUUUUCAAAGAGAAAGCAUUCUACCCAAAUGAACAACGGCACAAAAGUUUCAGCUCUUCGACAAACCACUUACGAAUCCAACAUAAGUGCCUCAAAGUUGAACAUCCAAAGAACUACAAAAUGGCAGAUCCAAAAGCCAGCACAACACAAAGGUUGUUCAACAAAUUAAUUGGUUCACUACAGUCAUCAAACGAUAAUGGAUACAAAUAAAAUAUAUAGUUUGAAAAUAUGGAGGAGUUACCAAGUUGCUAUACUCUGAUGCUGUAUUUCUCCAAGGAAAAUUAACGGAAAUGUCAAAAAUGGUAAAAUCCCACAUUAGAUUCUUAUGGUUCAAAGAAACAUAUCUGCAGAUCAGAUGAAGUGCAUUAGUUAUAACUUAGUUUAAGAAAUUAUGACAUUAAAGAGAUGGUUUGAGUAAUUGCAAAACGCAACAUACUCUACUUUUGAUAGGAGCCGAGUAUAGUCAUUUCCAAUUGCAUUCAGUGACAACAGCACCUGCAGUUUGACAGAAAUAACAGAAAUUUAACUCAAUUUAAUGCAAAAACACAAGAAUAUUUGUAUACUCUAAAGAGAAUUUCAAGAAGAUAGAGAACACAGAAACAUUCUCUUCCAUAGACUACAGCCUUCCAUGUUGCUCCGACUAUUUCAUAGAGCCCAAUGUUGCUCCGACAAUUGCAUUCAGUAACCAAUUCAUUGAGCUAACACAAUACAAUCAGUUGUUAUAUAUCAAGCUGUCACCUUCAGCACCAUAACUAAGGGCUUGUGUGGUACGUCGUAUUAGGACUGAUAGUAUAAGCUUAUACAAUACAUUAUGAGUUAUCCAUCGUUUGGUUCUAACAUUGUGUUGUAGGCUUAUCCGUCAAUCCACUCUUCUACGUUAAAUUGAUGGAUUAUUUAAUCCAUUCUACAAAUGUAGGAUAAGACCUGAUGAGAGUAGUUAUAUUGAAUAAUGGAAUGCUAAAAUGGAAAGAACCUUUUCCCUCACAAAGAAGAUAUCAAGCUCCAUAUGUUUGGUGCGAGUAUGAAGAACAGGAUUAUGAGUGAGAGCAACUGCACCCAUAUUAUCACAAAAUACUCGAGGUGGAGAAAAGGGAACCUGAAGCUCUUGCAAUAAUGACUGAACCCAAAGUAAUUCUGCUGAUGUAUUGGCCAGGCUGCGAUAUUCUGCCUCUGUGCUAGAUCUAGCAACCAAGGUCUGUUUCUUGGAGCUCCAAGAGACCAAAUUUGGACCAAAAAAGACACAAGUGCCCGAGGUUGAUCGUCUGUCAUCAGGGUCAGAUCCCCAGUCAGCAUCACAAAAGGCCACAAGAGGGACAGAAGUGUGUAAGGAACAAGGCCUAAGGUGAAGACCAUGAUGUAUGGUGCCUUUAAGAUACCUAAGUAUUCUUUUGACAGCCUUCCAAUGAUCCUCCAAGGGCUGGCUGAGGAAUUGGAAAACCUUAUUCACUGCAAAGCUAAUCUCUGGUCUUGUCAAAGUAGCAUACUGCAGAGCACCAACAAUAGACCUGUACAAUGUUGGAUCUGCAAAAUAAUCUGAGCCAUAUUUGCUCAACUUAGCACCUCCAAUCAUGGGAGUAGAUAUGCCUUUGGCCUCCCCCAUUUCUGCUCUCUCAAGCAAAUCAUUGAUGUAUUUUGUUUGUGUAAGAAGUAAGGAUCUGUCCUUCAAAUGAUGAACUUGAACACCUAGGAAAUAGUCUAGCUGCCCCAACUGCUUCAAAGAAAAUUCUGAAUCAAGAUUCUUCACCACUUGUUGAACUAAUGGCAGUGAAUUCCCAGUAAUAAUAAUGUCAUCUACAUAAACAAGAAUGUAGAUAACACAACCUUUGGUGUAGAAAGUGAACAAGGAAGGAUCACAUUUGCUAGGAGUGAAACCAUACUUAACUAGAGCUGCCCUUAACCUUUCAAACCAAGCUCUUGGGGCUUGUUUGAGGCCAUAGAGAGCCUUGUGCAGUCUGCACACAAAAGACUUGUCUUUACAAAGAAAACCAGAGGGUUGUGUCAUGUAGACCUCCUCUUGAAGUGCCCCAUUAAGAAAAGCAUUAUUCACAUCAAGUUGAUGAAUGUGCCACUUCUUAGUGAUAGCCAAGCUGAGGAUUAUGCGAAUAGUAAUUGGCUUUACCACUGGAGAAAAAGUUUCUGAGUAAUCAAACCCUUUCACUUGGUGAUAUCCUUUUGGCCACCAACCUUGCUUUGUAUCUAUUAAUUGUCCCAUCAGCAUUCUCUUUAACCCUAAAUACCCAUUUGCAGCCAAUAGGCUUUCGAUCCUUAGGGAGUGGAACCAAAGUCCAGGUUCCAUUGGCCAUCAAGGCAUCAUAUUCAGCUUGCAUAGCAGCCUUCCACUUAGGAUCCUUUAAUGCUUGAGUAGAGUUUGUAGGUUCUGCUUGGGUUAGGAGAAGUGUGGGAAAUAAUCUGGGCAUGACAAUACCAGAUUUUGCCCUUGUUUGCAUGGGAUGAACAUUCCCAAUGGGCUGAGCAAUUGCACCAGUAGAAGAAGAAGUUGCAGAAUUAUUAUGACCUGGCUGUGCUGAUCCAGAAGAUGAUCCAUGACUAGGUGAGUGACUAGGCUGCUGCUGAACUGAAAAACCACUGGGAUGAGUGUCCCCUGAAGAGGGAGGUGAAAGUGGAGGAGCAUUAACAGCUUGAGGUGGACCAUGAACAGCAGCUGGUACCAGAGAAAUAAUAGAAGAAAGCCCUUGAUCUGGGUGAGGAACCUCUGAGGAAGUGAACAUGUGUGGAUAGGGAAAGUUGAAUUCAUCAAAAACCACAUCCCUUGAGAUAUAAAUUUUGCCUUCAUUGUCCAUACACUUAUAACCUUGAUGUUGUGAUGAAUAGCCCAUGAACACACAAAGCUUAGACCUCAGAGACAACUUGGAUUGUGUGUAAGGCCUCAAAUGUGGGUAACAAGCACAGCCAAAAACUCUAAGUAGCUUGUAAUCAGGUUGUGUAUUAAAAAGCUUAAGGUAAGGACUUGCAUUGCCUAAAACAGAGGUAGGCAAUCUGUUAAUGAGAAACACAGCUGCAAGAAAAGCUUGAUCCCAAAAUUGAUAUGGCAAAUGAGCAUGUGCUAGCAAGGAAAGGCCAGUUUCAACAAUAUGGCGAUGUUUCCUCUCCACACUACCAUUUUGGUGAUGUGUAUAGGGACAUGUCAACCUAUGAACAAUCCCUGACUUUGUAAAAUAGGAAGUAAGGGGUUUAAACUCUGUGCCAUUGUCAGUUUGAAUAGACUUAAGUUUCUUGCUAAAUUUCAAUUCUACCAUAGCUUGAAACUGUAGAAAUGUGGAACAAGUAUCAGAUUUCUUUCUCAUAGGAAAGAUCCAUGUGAAACGAGAAAAGGCAUCCACACAAGUAAGAAAAUAAGAAAAACCACAAGAAGACUCAAUAGAGGAGGGCCCCCAUAAAUCAGCAAAAAUUAGCUCUAGAGGAGAGGAGUAAACAGUAGUAGAAGAAUGAGAUGGCAAGCGAUGAGACUUAGAAAGACAACAAGCUGAACAAACAUUGAACUUUGUUUUAUUAGGAACUUGAAUAUUACAAGAGGUUAAAGCUAAAUGCAAAGCCUCAUGAUGAGGAUGACCUAAUCUAGAAUGCCACAAACCAUAAGAGGUUGGGCUUACAAUAGCAGAAGAUGAAACUAUAGACUUAGGACUAAGACUAGGUGUAGUAGAGCUAGAUUAUGCAGCUGACAAAGCAGAAACUGAGUCUGAAACAGCCACUGGAGACAAAGAAGCAGAAGCUGGAAUAGGAGAUGUCUUGGAAAGGGAAGGAGUAUGCAUGCCUUCAAAGACAUACAAGCCAUCUGGUCCAACAUGACCUUGAAGAAGAACUCUAGAUGUGACCUGACAUUUAACAACACAGAAAGAAGGGUGAAAUUCAAAAUAAACAUGAUUGUCCCUUGCAAACUUACUUACACUAACCAAAUUCUUGGUGAUAUUGGGAACUAGAAGCAGAUUUUUAAGAGUGAGUGUGGUUGUAUUAUGAUAAGGAGAAGGAAAAGAAGCAGAUCCUAUAGAGAGGAUUGGCAAACCUUGUCCAUUCCCCAUGAAGAUGUGGUCAUUACCAGUGAGGGAGACACUAUCUGAGAUGACUGAGGAGUCAUUUGUCACAUGGUGAGUAGCACCAGAAUCAGGGAACCAAGUGCUCAGGUUUGCUGAAGCAGAUCCUCCAGCCUGUGAUGUGCCAGUAAGCAUAGCUUGUGGAGGCCUUGCAAUGGAAUUUUCAGGCCUCUGUCCUCCAUUGUUGAACUGAGAAGGAAAAUUACUCCAUGGAGUACCAGCAAAGGAACUAAAUCCAAACUGUUGAGGACCAAAAGGAAAACCAGAGAAUGAAUUUCCAUGACCAAACUGUUGUUGCUGACCAAACUGAGUGGGAAAACCAAACUGAGGAGAUCCACAGUAAGGUGAGAAGCCAAACUGAGGCAUAGGCAUCAUAGGAAAAUUAGGAAAUUGCAUUCCAUAGCCUGAGUUCAUUCCAGAAAUGCCAGAAGAAGGAGUGGAUGAAGAUGAAGAACCACGAUAGUAACAAACAGUAGCAUCAUGUCCAUACUUCUUACAAAUCUGACACUGAACGCUGCGAUUAUUACCUCUACCUCCUCCACGGCCAUUGUAGCCACCACGAGAGUUGUUUCCACCAUUGUUGCUAGUGUAGCCACCACGUCCACGCGAUUCAUAGGAUCCAGUGCGAUCAUCACUGCGAUCAUCAUAAGAACGAUCCUUAUAGGAAGAAUCGACAGAUCCAGAAGCAUAAUUUGCUUCAGAGGCCACCGGCGACGGUGUCGACAGCGGAGGUUGAGUCGCUGGUGGCGGUGGAGCCUGAGUAAGGAGCGCCGACGGAGGAUUUGUCGAGAUCUGGCGAGUACGAGCGCGAUCGAGACGCGCUUCAUGUGCGAUAAUCAUCGCUUCAACCUGCGAAAUCGAACUCGGUGAUUCACGAUUGUACACAAUCGUUUGAAGAUGACUGUAUUCCUCAGGCAAGCCAUCAAACACUGCUUCCAAGUGUUCACGAUAGGAGAUUGGAUCUCCAAUCGUGAUUAGCGCAUUAACAAUCGACUUAAUACGCUUGAGAUACUCAGAACACGACUUCGAUCCCUUGGAGAUGGAUCGAAUCUCAGAUCUCAGUUGUGUGGACUGCGCGAGAGCGUGUGCGUGGAAGAAUUCGAGCACUGCUUCCCAGACUUGCCAGGACUGAGAGCAAUUCACCAUAGUAGGAAGCACUGAUGGUGAAAGCGAAGAAAGUAACCACGUAAACAGAGCAGAAUCUUGCUGCUCCCAGACUUGAUAUGCAGGAUUCUCCACUGCAUUCACACGAUCUUCUUCAGUGAGAAAUCGUGGUGGAAUCUCAGGAUGAGAAAGGAAACUCUGCAACCUGUGAGUGCGAACGAUCCCUUCCACAUGCUGCUUCCAUGAAAGAAAAUUUGUAUCAUCAAGCUUCAACGUAAGCUUGUGAACAAGCGUGGAUGAACUCAACUGCGGUUGAGCCACUGGAACUGGAAUCGGGAUCGGAAUCUCUGAAAUUUCGUCAGCCAUGACGAAGAAGAAGGAGAAGAAAAGAAAAUCGAGAGAGAUCUCAAGGAUCGUGACCUGCUCUUGAUACCAUGUUGAAAACUCAGAACUCUGUAAAUCUAAUUCUCAUUCAUUUCAAAGGUUGUGAUACAAUAGACCAUAGUUCAGUACUUAUAGAAGAAUAUAAAGCUUGAUGAACAAGCUAACAAUUCUAACAAACUCUAACAACUAACUCUUAAUUCUGUUAUGCCAGCUAAGCUUGACAGCUAAGCAAGCAUAACUAACACACUAACUCAGCUACAAUCAGUAGCUUUACUUAACACGAGUAGUAUACUCUAAUAUACAGAUUUCCAAUUCAUCUUCAACUUUUAAAAAGUAAACAACAUACAACAUUCUAACAUAAAAGAAUUUAAAAUCACAUUCAGUUUAUCUAGAACUUCAGCAAUACCAAAAGCAGGAAGUGAAUUAAAAAAAAAACAAACAGAACACCAAAAAAUAGGUGCAUACCCGUUUGUUGUAAAAAUUGAAGGAUGUAAAGACUUUAUAAAACUCCAACAGAUUCAACAAAAUGCCUGUAUCAAAUGUCACUUCAAGCUGUUGAAGCAUUCCCUGCAUGUGAAGAUAGAAGAUGAAGAGACAAAACAGAAAACAGAAUGUAAAUGUAUCCUGUAUUAUUAUUCUAAAUUUACAUAGAGAAGUAGACUUAUAUAAGCUACUCUGACUAACGCAAGCACAUGUAACUAACUAACACACGUGUGCACAGCAUAGUUGGCACUUACAACUCAUAGCAUAGACUAGAUAUACUCUCUAGCACUGUAAAAAAAAAUUAAGGGAAAAAGUAGCACACUACAAAGACCAGCAGAACAUUCUUCCUUGAACACAUUGAGAUACCAUGAAAAUACCUUUACUGACAUGUCCAUAUCUCCGUUAGAGGAAAAAUGUACUUGAAUGCUGCAGAGAUGAUUAACUACGCCCAGUGUAUUACUUUCAUCUAUAGUCUGUCAAUCAAGGAAUACCACCAUCAGUAUCAAUGCAAUUGAAUUGGGGGGGGGGGGGGGGAGAAUAACAGUCAAUAGUCAGAAGUCAGAACCAUUGAACAAGUAUUUAUCAAGCAAAAAUUACAGUCAUAACCAAAUAAGUGCAGGCAGUUUGUUAUUCACCCUCAUUAGCUCCAUCUAAAAACUUCAAGUUGAUCUCUGUUAGAUGAAAUGCAAGAAAUUUUAUUUAAUCAAAGCAGGAGGAAAAUAACUAUCUGCUUAAUGUUUCUAGCAUUAAUGCAUUAUAUUUCAACCUUCUUUAUACAACUAGUUGCAAAAUUUCGAUAUCUCACAUCUAUCUACAAAGUGACGGGCAGAUUGACCUACAUACAGUAACCAAGCAAGGUGACUGAAACAUAAAAACUCUUCAGGUAUAUAUAUAAUAUGUCACCGCAAAGUCUUUAUCAAACUGAAAGGAGAACAGAGCUAUAAGACUAAUAACACACUACAGUAAUGAACAACAGCAACUAAUAAGUGAACCAGUAAUGAGAAGGUUAUGGUCAAUAAGUGGAAAUAAAACACAAGAUCAGGUAUGAUUGUAUUCAGGAGCAAGUUGGACUAGCCACCGUUAUGGGAAAGAUGACACAAAACGCAAACGUGAUUUGUUAUAUUAAUUCAGUACAGAUGAGAUAAGAAAGAUACCAACCCCUCUAAUCUGUAAAAUGACUUUGUUGCUGUUUGAAUCAACAAUUUUCCCCGACUUGAAUUUGGAGAUAAUAAUUCCAUGAUCUUUGUGUAGCUUAGAUUCAACAAUUCCACCUUCAAGAAUUAUUUCUGCAAUUUUGUGACAAUUCUUCCUAGAUAAAGAAGCAAAAGAGGGGGAAAAAGAUAUUUAGUUCACAAGUACAGAAUGCUAAUACAUGCUGUUGAAAAUUCCCACAUUGACUAAAGAUAUGGCCAAACAAAUGUUUAUAAAGGUAGAGCAACCCUCAACUCUUGAUCAAGCUUUUGGGUUGAGUUAGGCCUAACCCAAAUUCUAAUACAUGCAUUAACAAAUUUUAGACAUACCAUCAAUAUACUGAAACAGAGUUGCGAGUUUAACAGAAUCAAGUAGUUGAUAGAAGAGAGAGAGGGAGAGAAACUGAAUUCUGUUAUGAAUUAUUGAUCUUACACUAUUACAAUCACAGUGUAGAAUAUAUAUGGCACUUGUAAUACUAAUUGUGACCGGCUUAACAACAGGGGAGAAGGUCUUUGUAUAGUCAACUCCAGGUUGCUGGUGAAAGCCUUUGGCUACCAACCAGGCUUUUUUACUUUUGGACAGAACCAUCAGGAUUUUCCUUUAUCCUGAACACCCAUUUGCAGCAAAUGGACUCCCUUCCAUCAGGUAAGUCAACAAGAGUCCAUGUCUGAUUUUUCAGUAAGGCAUUAAAUUCUACAGUCAUAGCCUGAAACCAAGUUGGGUCAGCCAAGGCUUGUUUUACACUAGUGGAUUCCAAGUGUGUUAACAAAAGAGUAGGAUGGAGUCUUGGUUUUAUGAUGCCAUUCUUAGAACCGGUGACCAUAGGGUGAACAUUGUGAGGAAAAUGAGAUGAAGAGGCAGAAGAAGGUGCAAGAGGUGGUGUUAUGGGAGGAAUGGAAGGUAGAUCAUGACCGGAAUUAGUGUUUGAAGAUUGCUGAAUAGAAGAACCAGAAUGUGGAUUAUUUAAGGAACUAGGAGGAGGAAGUGGAGAAGGAGACUGGAGUGGCAGGCUCUUGUUGAUGCAUAGAGAUAGGUGGGAAAGAGCAAAGAGGAAUAGGAGCUGGUACAGGUAAUGACACAGAUGGUAAGGAAGCGGAUUUUGACUCAAAAAGUUAGGUAUAAGGAAAGGAAAACUCAUUGAACAAAACAUUCUUGGAAAUAAUCUGUCUACCCUCACUAGUUAAACAUGUGUACCCCUUAUGAGAAGUGGAUUAGUGGAAUAUCCCAAAAACAAACACCUUUGAGACCUGAAAUGCAUUUUGUGAGAUAAAUAUGAAGGCAAUGACCGAUAAUCACUGGCUCAAUCUGCUACUUCCAUAGCAGACAAUUCUUGUUAGAAAGCUUCUCAGUGAUAACAUGCAAGAAUACAGAAGGAUUCGACAUAUUCAUCGCAUUGACAGGGUGAGCGUGAAUCGGAGAAGUGUGAAGCGGUUGAGUCUGAAUCAGGGACGUCACAUGCGAUGGAGAACGUGGCGGCGAUCUUGGUGGAGUAGAGGGAGAUCCAACGUCAGCCAUGGAUUCUCCAAAAAAAUCAAGCUCUUGAUACCAUAACAGAAUCAAGUACAUGGUAGAAAAGAGAGAGAGAGAGAGAGAGAGACGGGGGGAGGGAGAGACGGAAACAGAAUAACUGAGUUCUGUUAUGAACUACUAAUCUUACACUAUUACAAUCACAAAAGCAGAAUAUGUAUAGUGCACUUGUAGCACUUAGGUAGGUUCAGGUCUUAGUAUCCGAACCAACUAACUAGCUAACCUCUUAAAUUAUCACUCAGUGAGUGUAUACUCUGUUAGGCCUAACCCAAAUUCUAAGAGUUAUAGUGGCAUCUUAAAAAUUGAGAAUAUGACCUUUUUUAUAUUAAUAAAAAAUUAUUAAGAAUUGAUAGAAAGGAACAUCUUAUAUGCUAGGAUUGUAACUGAAAGAAAACUAAAGCUUUGAGGCUCAAACAGGCUGUAAUACAUGUACACUCACAGAUUCCUAACUAAAUUCUAACAAUUCUUACUUCCUACCAGCUAUGCUGAAGACUAGGCAAACUACACUACACUACAUGGCAAAACAGUAUAACAGAUACUGCACUGCUGAGAUAAGUAUUACUUUAACAUAUAUUAAGUAAAAACAGAAAUCAUACUUUUCGUAAAAUAAACAAAUAAAGAAACACUUAAAAUGACUGUAAAAUAAGGAUAGAGUAAAAUACAGUCUAUAUAAAGUGGCAGAAAUCUGACAAAUUUCAAUCUUUGAUGCAAAUAUGCAUAAUUCAUGCUUGGUAGAAAAAUCGACACUGGAUGAAACCAGAGGAUGAAAUUCAGUUGCUUCAGAUAUAUCCUGCAAACAAGCAGCAACCGUUAGACUGAAAAGUGUCGCUCAGCAUUUAACAUGAUACUACCAUGUGUGGUUUAGAUUUUCGUUGUUUAAUUAGAAGUUAAAUGUAAUAUAUGAUUUUUCAUAUUUCAUUAACAAUCAGUGAUCUGCUUUGUUAUCAAAACAGCAACAAUAUCAAAUAUCUCUGCAAGAAAAAAAAAUGAUAAAGCAUAAGGAGCAUCUCAUUUAUUUUCAACUUUGACCUCAUUAUUGAUUAAUCAGUUUAUGCAAGUAGAUGUUAACACUCCAAAAUUGAGCUUCUCAUUCUAUACAAUGUUUCAAUUCAAUUACAGAACUCCAAAUUAUAUAAUAUUUUUUCUUGCGGUGCUUUAACUUCCGAAGUACCGGAAGUAAAAGAAAAUUAAAUUCCAGAGAGUUCUGGAAUCGUAAAGUUUAGAUACAAGAUAUAUAUGUUCGGAACUCCAAAUUCAAGAACAGAUAAUUUUUUUACUUCCCAAAAUUGGACUUCUAAAACUACAAUUAAAAUUAUGAAAUUCCAAUUUUGAAAGCAAAAAAAUCAAUUCUGCAGUUCCAGUAUUGAAACUACCUUUCUUCCAUAACAUUCCACAAAUGUAAUUAUAGUUCCAUAUUUGAAGUUGAGAGAGAGGUAUUGAGAGUUAGUGCCCGCUUUAAUUCACAUGACGAUUCAUCAAAAGCGUGUAUCAGAAAUGAAGAAAUAAAAUGAAAAACAGAAUGGGUUGUGCAAUUAGAAAAUAAAGGUGUGCAAAAAGCAACCCCCAUUACAUACAUUGAUAAUAGACUCCAUCCCUCAAGUUAAGAGAUUAGGAUCAACUAAGGAAACAGUGAUAACAGAUACAGCAAAAAUAAUACUAGAUCAUUUCCUGCAGAAUAAUAUCUCAACAAAAAAAUAUAACGAAACUAUUGCUCAGAGAUAAUCUAAGUUGCUUUAAGUAUUCAUAGAAACGCUAACGUUAUUAUGAGGUUUAAAAAGGAAAAUCAUCAUGUAACUAUCAAUAUAAAACAAUAAAAAAUGGUAUUUGUUAGAAUUAUAAGUUAGAACCACACACCACCACAAAACCAUAAGGCUUAAGGCAAUGGGUAUGUGUGUUCUUCAUUAUAUAUAUACACUUGUACACUAGCUAAUCCACCCAAUGCGGGGCUUCUUCGGGUCUCCACUUGGUAUUCUCAGGGCCGUGUAUAGAGAUUUUGGGGCCUAAGGCGAAAAUGAUAAAGUGUUUUUAUUUUAACAAAAAUCUUAAAGAGACCGAACAUAUCAUAUAAAUUAUUAAUUUUCUAUAUUAAUCUUCCCGUUUUUUGAGCUGUGAAAUCAUUUAUUAGAGUUUUAUACUCCAACAUAAGUAAAAUAUUAUGAACAAUAGAACAUGAAACACAAUGAAUGAAUCAAUGAGAGAUUUUGCAACAUUUUAAUAAUAAAUAUCUCAUUUGAUAAUUCACUUCAACGUAGAAAAAUGAAAAUUUUCUUUUUUUAGAGAAGAAACAAUGAGUGCAAAGCAAACUAAUUGUUAUAAAAUUUUCCUCUUGUAACAAAAAAAAAACACUAAUUGUUAUGAGUAACACAAUUUAAUUUUUUGAGUUUUUUAAAUGUAUAAACAACAUAUAUUUUAUUUAUUAUUUAUUGUUUUUUCUGGAAAAUGUAAAUUUUCUAAUACAGAACAAUACUAUUAAUAACUAUCAAAAUUGCACUUAAGUUCUUACAUUGCAUUAUCCAUGUUACAAUUAAUAUUACUUAAUUUUUUAUUGUUUCACUACUUUUUUAAGUCCCAGUAAUAUAACCUAUAUACAUACCAAAAACAUUUGGGGGCCUAUAUAUUUUGGGGGGCCUUAGGCAAUUGCCUAUUUUGCCUAAGGCCUAUUUAAAUUCAAACUGAAAUGCAUUUUUCCCAACAUAUAAUCUGGACGUGAAAGUUUCAUUUUUUGACCGCACAAACCAAAACAUGCACAACCCUCAACAUAUUUUGAUAGUUUAAUAAACAAUAGAGCACAGGCACUGCACCUUAACAUCAAAUGACACAACUCCAGAAAAUUGACUGGAAUCAUCGGUUCCACCAGCACCAAGCAUCCCACGAGAUAGCCAAUUCAGCCAUCCCCGGGAUUUAACUGUGUGCUCAUCAUUGCUAUGAUUAUCUAUAUGGAUAUCAUCAGUCUGAAUCCUACCACUGUUAGUAGAAGAACUAGAACACCUCGACAAUAAUUCCUGUAAGAACAUAAAAAGCAAGAACUUUUAAAACCAAACAAGCAAAUGACACAACUCAAAAAUACAGAGCCUCAUCAGCAUAAAAGUUGCACAAAAUAAGUCAAUCUACCAUGGAAUAUAACACUAAACAACCAGACACUGAAUUUUAAUUCAUGACAUGUAGCACACUUACCCGCAUCUCAUAUUCUGCAGCAGAUCGAUAAUUCAAAAUAUCAUCUAGAUCUGAUUCUUUCUCCAUUUGCUCCAAAUCUCUAAGAACAGUGUCAUCAACUGGCUAAUAAACGCAAAUAUUAUCAUCAUCAACAACAACUGGACAGGACAAUUUAAAUCAUGUAAGAAAUGAGAAAAGAAAAGAAAUGAUUAAACCUGUGUCUAAAUGAUAGGAACAAAUCUCCUAAGGGUAGGCUGUUAUUAUAACUAACUAGCUGAUAGCUGUUACGUAGAAUAGUAAGUUAGUUAAUUAAAGGGAGUGGAUAACAGAAUGAGUAUGAGACUGUGAAUUUGGGGUAAGGGGGGCAAUCAGGGUCAUUAGGGGAGAGUAUUGGUCUCUAGAAUAUCAACGAAUUUAUGUAUUCAUUGUUCAGUGUAAUAACACAAUUCCUUUUUUAUGCUCUAUAUGAACAGGUUCUAAUGAACUGGUAUCAGAGCCUUCUACCAUGACUCUGAGCCACAAAUGAGCUCCGGCAAUGAUGACACCGAUAUUGCAGUGUUCACCUAGGACUAGUCAAAAAGCAGAUAAUGCACAGCCACCCAACCUGGGCGCCAGGCAGUGGAGCAUUGUGAGAUGCCUAAGAUCCAAUCGCCAGGCAGCCAGCCUACUUGGCUCAUCUUAUGAACCACCUUGCUGAGGAUGUAGUCAGCCACACACAGAAGGUGACCUUAAAAGCCCACUCCUAUAUAUCAUCUGUCUUUUAAUUCUCCUCCGCCACGGGUCACUUGAUACCUUCACCCACCAUCGUGAUCUCCAAUCGGCUGUCCUAGAUCUAUCACACCAAUUUUUUUCGUUCUGUGAAUUUUCCAGUAGCCCCUUCCUGAGCUCUCUUCUGAUACUUGCAAGUUCUUUCUGAACUAUCCAACAAUGUCAAGCUCACGCUUGUGCUUCUCGAUUUCUUUCCUCCAAUUUGCCAUCUCUUUCUUCAUAUCUCCAAGAAUGUCAAGAAUUUCCUUCCUUACUUCUGACAACAGUGAACAGCUCAUGGAUCCUUCCAUAUUCAACCACCACAGCUACUUGAUAGAGCUCUAAUACCAACUGAAUAAAAUUAAAAUUUUUAUUGAAUGAAAGGAUACUUCGAGUUUCUAGGCUAUUCGAGCGAACCCAGCCUCUCUCACUUCCCAAUUACAAUGACACAUAUAUGAAGUCCCUCUAAUCUCUGUUAGUUAUAAUAUUUCCCCUCUCGCUCUCUUAUCUAACUCACUGUUACAAACUAUUCUACCAAGUCACUAACUAGAGAAGGGGUUACCUAUCAAAAGUUGCCUCUUGUUAGACUCUGGUACCAUGUUAGCACAAGAGAAAACAAGAGUCAAAUAAUGAAAUGUAUAUCUACAGUCUAAACUGCACAACAGAGCUGAAUUAUGAACAAAAAUCACAAAUACAGCAAUAACAUACACAAACCACAGUCAUCUUAGUUACUGUAAUUGCAGAAUUUGAUCAGUCUUACAACGAAUUCAGAAAUUAUUUACAUACUUUACAGAAACAGGUAAAAUCUAAAAAGCAUUUCUAACAAAUAUAUGAUACACAUACAGAUCUAAAUGUGUGUGCCUACAUGGAAAAGAACAGCAAAAGAAAGCCACCUGCUCUUGUCGGAGAAAAUCCAACUUAGUCUUGUACAAGUUCAUAUAAUUCCUACGGAAGCUUCUGCAACCAGGAAACGUAAUGAAUUACCAGACGUGGUAGAUAAAUAUCAAUAAGAGACUGCAUACGGACACAAAUAAAAUAAAAAGAUAAAUUUGAAACGCUAUCUAAAAAGAAGACUAAUAAAGAAAGAUAACACAGUAUCAGUACAAUAUCAAAAUAUGACAGACAUAGGUUUGAGUCAGAUCUUACAUCUCAUUCAGGAGUUCAAAAAAAAAAAAUACAUCUCAUUCAGAAGAAUUUGCAACCUCACACUUGCAGGUUGCAUGUGAUACAGUGAUAGUGACACAAUAAUUAUUUGAAAGGAUAAUAAGCAUAUAUUCAUGCUUGCUCUACAGAUACUUCUGUUUUUAACGUGAUUCAAGGUCAAAAAGUUAAUGUCAAAUUAUGGUGUGGCAGGAGUUAGAAGAUGAACCAGAGAGACAAUACUGUGAAAGGUUACUAUAUUAACAAUCUGAAUGAUUACAGUAUAAUCAGUUAUAUUUAUAGAAGAUGAAGCUUACACUAGAAGCCUCCAAUCAGUUGUAACAGAAUAAUAGAGAUAAUGAAGUGGUAACUCAAAGAAGUCCCACAUUGCCAAGAUUAGCAAGUGCACAAGUGCAUAUAUAAUAAAGAACACACACACCCAUUGCCUUAAGCCUAAGGUUUUGUGGUGUUGUGUAGUUCUAACUAAGGAUUUCUAACAUGGUAUCAGAGCUGGUCUGAUCCAAGCCAUGACUUCCGCUUCCAAAAAAAAAAAAAAAAAAAAAAAAAAAAAAACGAAAAAAAAAGUAAAAAAAAAUCCGAAAAAAAAAAGAAGCAAAAAUGGCAGUCCCAUUUGCGCAAGCCAAGGCCUCAGACUCAGACGAAGGAGCACAAGUCCAAGGAACUCCGAUGCUCCCGCUAGAGUACUAGCCCAGACAAAGAAAGUCGAAAGGCAGACUCAGACGAGGAGCACAAGUCCGACGGCCACUGAUGUUCCCGCUGGAGUGCAAGGCACAGGCAAAAAAAAAAAAAAAUGGAGUCCCAAUUGAGGGGGAGUAAUAGAGAUAAUGAAGUGGUAACUCAAAGAAGUCCCACAUUGCCAAGAUUAGCAAGUGCACAAGUGCAUAUAUAAUAAAGAACACACACACCCAUUGCCUUAAGCCUAAGGUUUUGUGGUGUUGUGUAGUUCUAACUAAGGAUUUCUAACACAGAAUGCUGAGUCAGCAUAACAGAAGCUGGCUCAGCCUAACAGAAUCUAAGCUAAUCUUAUUCUAUUAGCUAGUUAGUUAUAAUAACAGCCUACCCUUAGGAGAUUU
RNAcentral lists this long non-coding RNA (86873 nucleotides) under Lotus japonicus. RNAcentral describes it as "long non-coding RNA (LJAP_LNC001446)". The record is from RNAcentral. Lineage: Eukaryota; Viridiplantae; Streptophyta; Magnoliopsida; Fabales; Fabaceae.